CAUUGGUGGUGGGACAACUGAAAGGGCGGAUGCCUCAACCGCAGAGUGGGAGUCUCACCUUUCUCUUCUUAUGUUGGGAGUUUUUGUCCCAUAAAAAAGAAUAUACCUUUUCAUCAAUCCGUAGUUCAUCCUACUCAUCAUCAUAUACUAUAGAAAAUCAGAGCUUCUAAAGCAGAACGGAUGAGGCAGGAGAGACUGAAACGAGAACAAGAAAAGCCACUUCCUCAACAGAACAAGUGAGAGCCACGGCCUCUGGUCGAACAGCCUCUUAAGUGGGUCGCUCCUUUCUCUCUCGCUUUAUUUAGCUCGACUCAAUUACAUUGAUCCGAUCCUGCUCAAGAAAUAAUCAGAGUGUUGAAGACCGUCCUUCAGCAUAAUCUAAUAGGAUCAAAGUAUUUGAGCUUUGCGCCUAGCCUUCGGACGGAAGAAAAACAAAGGUCUAUAUGAACUACAUCGCAAUAUUCUUUGCACCUCACGCAAUGAUCUUUGCUCCUCCUUCUACGCUCUCCAUGGGCUCGACUGAGAUGGACGGAGGCUAAGACAGGGAUAUUGAUGAUUGAUUGACUGGUCCGAAGGACUAUCCAUCAGGGAGGCUCAAAGCAAGCCCACUACACGGGAAGAAUGGAUAUUGUAGACCGCGGGGGAGGGGUCAAAGAAUUUGAGAAGAAGCGAAGAAAGCCCUCACUGAGCGAAGCCCACGUAGCGGUAUGAAAGAGUAUGAAAUGACUAUGCGAGCGUACAGAUCCCCAUAUUCAUUAGGCGAAGGACUUAUUUAUUGAACUGAAACUGACUGAACUUUCCUUUCACCUCUCCUUCUCUUUCUACACUCGAAGAGCUGAGCUCCAGAUCCAAUGCUGAUGGCAAGGCUUGAGCACUACGAAUGAGCUCUGGCGUCCGGAAACUCACUCAUUCAAAAAAAAAGAUGAGAUCGAUUCAUUGCACUUCCUUCUUGACUUCCGCGUAGUGGGCCCUCCCUCUCCUGAGAAUGAAAGCGAGAGGGUUCGGAUGUAGUCCGAAUCGAGAAAAUACUGAGUUUAGGCCCCUUCUCGAGUGAAGUAUAUUGGGUCCUCCUUUCUUCAACUCCAGGAUCUCAUACCGAUGCCUUCAAUCAAUGGCCCGGCCAGGGGAGUUCAUUAAAGAGUUCGAGUCCACUCUCUCUACUUAAAUUGAGAUUUGGGAAAUCCAUGAUUUAGUAGGAAAAAGACUUACUUGAGCAAGAGCAUUCCUCAUCCUAAACCUCGACUCAUUGAAUUCCACUAAGAAGGAUGAUGUUGGGAUCUUCCCUUUGUCCCUGGUCUAUUCCCCUUUCGAGCUUCCUCCACCUUCCACUCUCCUUAUCAGUAGCAAGAUCAGCAGCAAGGGCGAGCCCUAUCUAUCUGAUUAUCCUUUUCGGAGACUUCCCUUCGCAAGAGAUCAUAUCUGGGACUACGGAGAAUUCUCCUCCUUCCCAAUGAAAGAAAAAGUAUGACUCUUCCCUGGUCGAGACUGAUAACCUAGUCCUAUGGAGCCCCACUCUUCUUUCUUCUCUUUCUUCGUAGUAAAUACCUUGAUUCUAUACAGAAUAAGAUAACUCCUUUCGUAUUCAUACCUCGUCUACAUUAAUAGUGAGCGCUGACUCCUCGGGUAAGCCGUUGAGAUCCGGAAGGAUUGAUCCUACUUAUUCAAAUUCAUUCCGAGGCCACUGACUGACUAAUUCUUCUAGCUUUACUCAAGCGAAGAGAAUCGCUUCCGAUUCAUCAUUAUUACAGAGAUGCUAAAUUCAAUGACUGAGAAAACCCAGCCUAUAUCUAACCGAUGUCAGUGACUCACUCUUAUGCUAUGCAUUCAAUGCCCUAAAAGCACCUCUAUCCUGAAAUCUCUCGACUUUCAUCCUAUUUUCCGGUAUGGACGCGAAGCUCCUCUUCCGAUCCUGGGUGGAGCAUAAAAGGACCUCCCCCUCAACUCUUAAGGAAUCAGACUCCUUCUCAUGAAAGAAAGACUUCUUCCGACCCUCUCCCGAAACAAGAGCAUUCUAAACUUCUACAUCGCGGAGAUAGAGGACUUCGAAUAUGAAUUCAGCCUCCUACUACCUUGUCUUUCUUCUUUCUAUAUUCUUGAACUCAUUGAUAAGGACAUAUUCACUUGCAUCCGAAUCCGAGAAGAAGUCAAGCCCACUGGUCUCGCCUUUGUCCUCUCCCACUAAUUAAGGUCGUCGAGCGGACUCUGAUGAAAGGCAAUUCCCCGAUCCUACUUAGUUAUAGCUGGGUUCUAACCUUUAUAGCUGGAGGACUACUUGGUCUAGCUGCUUGGGUAAGCCCUUUCUAUCCUAUUAGGUCUCGAAGCUUCCUUUGUUCCGAUCCAAGUGCCAUAGUUCCGAUCAGAGUCAACUCGGUCCUUGCUUCCUAUUGGUGCUUUAUAAUAUAAGUCGAGUCGUAUGAUAACCUCUAACUCUUGCUUCGGCAACAUCUCAUUCCCUGUCUCCUGAGAACAGUUAUUCAGUAAUGGAAUAAGAGAGUUUCAUACCGCUACGUGGGACUGAUGGAUUCCAUGGAACAAGAGUCACAGCCGCACUCAAUCAGUGACGUCGUAUGAUAACCUCUAACUCUUGCUUCUGAGAAUACUUAUCGCUUCCAACGGAACUUAGUCCUACGAACUGAAAGAUCCCCUUACAAGCUCAGCUACUCACUGUAGAGCAUACUAACUGCCCGCAGCACCCUCCUCUUCCCCCCGCCGAGAGGGCUUCCUAUGGAGGUGGUUAUGCUUCUUCGCAUACGAUCCCUAUCAAGUCAAGCUCCUUCUUCCACUCCCACUAGGUUUCUUCAUACAAUUCCCGCUCCGUGGGAGUUCUAGCUGCCGAGAGAAGAGUUACCUGUCUGCGUCCCCGCUCCGUGGGCUUCUUAGUCUCUGACCUUGAUUCCAGGACAAAUAACUAUUCUCCUUCCUCGGUAAAUCGGGAAAGCUGAUAAGGGCAACUUCGUCUUACCUUGAAAAAGUAGUUAUUCCCUGAACACUCGUCUUCUCGGGCGGCUUCUUAUAACAUAACCUUCCACUCGGGACACCCGUACCUAACCCUAUGAUUCAGAUGAAUGAGAUCGCACGUCUUUGAGUACUUCCCGCCGAUGAAUUGGGAUUUCUUUCUCAUAAUAGAUAAAGAAAAGAGAUGCAUGCUACUUAAAUGAGAGAUUCAGACCUCUGAAGAAGACCUAUCCUGGGGAAGUCUCGCCCUUUCUCCUCUCGCUUUGUUCGAGCAUAUUUCCUCUUUCUUCCACUCGAAAUCCAUAUAUAUCCUACCAGCCCGCAACCCUUGUUUCGUUACUGACUCUAAUUCUAUUCAUUGAAUACCGUAAAUAAGUAGAUAGAAGAAUAGUUCUUGCAAUGGUAAAGCUCCUAACCCCGAUCAGGAAACCCAUGAAAGAGCAGACUCAACGGAUAAGUCUUCAUCAACCCUAUCUGGGAAAAGGCAAGUCUGAUCCCGGUCCUUUGUCUCCAUUCUGAGAUUCCGAGUUGAACAGGGCGUGAACCUUCCCAUAAUUCAAAGUAUGAAAUAGACUUUUCAUCUUUUCUAAUCCGGAAUGCGGAGUAGGAGGGAUCUCAACAAGAUAGACAUCUUUAUCCCAGGAUUUCUCCUUUCAAGCCUUUCCUUUCAUAAUCGUUCUUUAUAUAAGGGGUUGGGACUCAAUAAAUCCAGUAAGAAGGCAGGGAGAUCUAGCAAGAGCAGACUCUUGUUCAACGACAGCUAGAACGAAAGCUAGGAGAUAAACUGAUUAUUCUGAAAGAACCUCUCCUCUUCCUCUGGUCGAGACGUGCCGGCUCUUCCUCUUGAGAAUUCCUGCGUAUCGUUCAGUUACUCGUAUUGUAGGUGGAGCUCCAUAACGUUCUAGCCUCUCGCUGUGGAAUAGUAGUUAUCCCAGGAAGACAAUCCACAGUGAAAAAAGUAGAUCUGAAGCCACUGAUAGGCGGCCUUUCUAUCUUAUGCAUGAGCUGAUGGGUCUGUCUGUCCGCAGCUGUGAAUUCUAGCAAGAAAGCUAUGUCUCUUUCGUGACAAGCACUCGGAUAUUCUUUCUCUUUCUCUGACGCUUGGAGUGAUGACCUCAUAAGACCGAACCCUAUUGCUGCUUUGCACCUGGCCGGUCGAUCUGACUAACUAAGUUCUUAAAUGGCACAGCUCUCUCACAUAUGAAUACCUUUACUGUCGAGCUAGGGUUUCUCCUAUUUCAUACCGCUACGUGGGUGACUCCCGAUCCUCUCAGUCUCGGUCUCCUUUUCCCGGGUUGAAGGAAGCCUUUCUUUACGUCAAUAUUCUUUUCACCUUAUUUAUUCAAUAUGAUUCAAAUAUUUCUAGUCCUUCGCGGAGGGAAAUACAAGAUUUUGCUAGGUUUUGCCCAUAGGGAAGUAGCAAGAAAUCAUGAAAAAUCAGUCAAAAUUAGACAAUUAUCGUUAUUUAGAGAAAACCGAGAAAGUAUGAAAAAGAAGCAAAAAAGCCGGGAAAUUGCAAGGCAUUGUCCUAUUUGAUUUUCGAAAUUCACAUAGUUUGUGAAAACUUUUCUAAUGGAUAGUCCGGAGGACGGAGAAAUACGGGUCUAUUCUUCUCAAUAUUCUUUGACCCUCCAGGUUAUUCAAUCCUAAUGAUUCUUUCAUUCGAGUGAAUGAGUGAAUUAUUCUUGAAUUCGAGUUAAUGAGCUGAUUUUCUUUGAUUGACUUUGAACAGGUCCUUCGGCUAGGCGCAAAGUUCUAAUGGAUAGUCCUACGGACUCCGGACGGGGGAACCGAAGGCGCAAAGAAUAUUGCCCAUAUUGCCUCUCGUCUUAUUCCACUACUUAAGAAAAGCAAAGAAUAUUGCGAUGAAUCAUAUUUGAAAGGCGGUCGAUGAGCAAAGAAUUUGCACGGAGGCGCAAUGAAAUAUGCGAUUGAGAGUAGGUGCUUUUUCUGAGGGGUGAGGGGUAAAUCAAGAGGUCGUAUUGGUCGUGGAGCAGGCCACGAGGAAGGGUUACGGUUCGACUUCAAUCAAUUCGGAGAUUGAGAAUAAUCUAAGAGAAGGUUGCCAGUGAGGUGGUUCAUGUGAGAGAGGAAGAUAGCCACUGAAUAAGGAUAAUCAUCUUUCUUCUGCAUAAGCUUGUUAAGAUGACAACUGGAUAAGCUGCAUCAUAAGAUAAGCUUUCCACGGAUUCAAAGGGCUAGUAGGCCCCAUGGCAUGUAGACCUCGCUCCAGCCUUUGCCUCAGACAUUCUUCUUCAGUCGAGCUAUUUCAUAACCUAGGCUUUCUCUUUGGACGGAGGCUGAAUUCAUUGAGAGAACUUAUCCUAUUUUAUGUCUUUUAUUGAGGCUAGGGCAACUAUUUCUCAAAAAUACAAAAGAUGUAAAAGCUCGGGGAGUCAGACGAAGGAUUAAUCUCUGCACAAUAAGGAAGAGAGCAGAAUCAAUGAACAUCCAUAAAAGAAAUUAGGGGCUGCUGCUUAUCCAGUUGUCAAUACAGCUUCGGGCUUGAAAGCAUUGAGGCAGGCAUAAGCCGGCCCAUCAACCUAGCCCCUCUUAUGAGAAUAAGGCACAUAAGGCGCAAAGAAUAUUGCGGAAAAGAAUAUUGAAAAUGAAAACAUCCGUCAAAAUUAGGGUUGUGAACUAAUCUUAGAGCACUCAAAAAAAGUACCAUACCUUGGGCGGAUAGCGGGAAUCGAAGGAUUGCGGGCAGGACAAUGAAAACUGACUAACCCCCUGUACCCUCACCUCAUUACUCUGAGGAAUUGCUUGAACUGCUAGUGAGAGAUGGAAUCGAAGCAGUAGAAAAUGGUAAAGGAAGGACCGCUACGUGGGCAUCUGGAAGUCAUCUUCACCCUUGUUUUUGGUCAGGUAUAACUAUUGAACUCGGGGCUGAUUACUCUACUCUACUGCCUUAGCUAGAGGUCGAUCGGCCCAAAACCAUACUCUAUUUCAUCCGUGGAUUCCUAAGUCUCUAUACUCUAUUCUAUAUACGCAAAUCCUUCCUUUCCUCGCUGGAAUUGAAACCUAAAAGAAAUACGAAUUGAAUUUUGAUGGGACGUGGAAUAGGUCAAGGUUGAGGGUAGAGUUACCGCUACGUGGGCUGCUCCAGGGAAGACCCCGGACGGAAAGAGAGAUAGAAAGAGAGUUCGAUCCGAAACAUAAGAACGAAAGAAGAAAGGAUUAAGGAAGACUCCGCGAACAAAGCCCUUGGGAAAGAGAUCUCAUUCUUUGAAUUGAGUGCUAUGCAUUCACAAAAAAGAGAAAGGAAGAAGACUCCUAACCGUCCGAAGGACUAUUCAUCAUAUUUGAGAGGUUAAACUGGGGGUCUCACUUCAAGUUCGAGAUCUGACUCAUGGAGUGACUCAAAAAAGAUAACUUAGAAGAAUGCCAGCAUUUCGGAGUAGAUAUAUUUAUAGUAGUUCUAGCAAAAAAAUAGUUCACACCUGUCCUCCGGACUACGGAUAAAUCACCUGGACCUUUCUUUGGCCCUGCGGACUCCGGACUGCGGACUACGGACUUCUUCUUCUUUAAAAGGAAGGGUCCAGGUUUCAUAAGACUCCUUCUACGCGGUCUCGCAAUAUUCUUUUCACUGGGGGAGGCUCAAUGCAAUUUGAGUUGCGACUUUCACGAAAAACCCUGAUAAGUGAACCCAGGUCUCGCUACCAAACCAUCCCGUGUAGUGGGAUCGAGCCCCUUACGAGCACUGUCGCAGGGGAGUCGUUGGUUCCGCUUGCUCUUUCAGUACGAGGAUAGAGAAAGAAAGGCUCGCGAUAAGCCUUGGCUUUGAGAUGAGGCGAGGCGGAGUGGCUGAUCAGCUAGGGCAAUUCCCUUUCUUCAGUGCUUUGGCUCUUUCCUUAUUUUAUUGUGAAAUAAACUUAGCUGCCUAACGCCUUUCUGAAAAUCAAAGGAGAUUUCUUGGUCGAAACCAAAGCACUGAACUUAGUCGCGAAGAAGAAGCGAGACCCCUCCGGAGGAGAAGGAUAGGGGUUCAAAGAAUAUUGAAGCAAGGAGCAAAGAAUAUUGCGAGACCUCAGGAGUCUGAGAUCAAUGAAUGAGUGGAGUAUGAAAGAUCAGAGUGAAUAGGAGAGAGAGAAGAGAAAGAAAGGGCUUGUCCCCCACGGAGCAGGGGAAGUAACUGCAAGCUUUCUUUCCACCUUUGCCGAAUAGGGGUGGUUGCGGGCAUUGAAAGAAUGGGUUGGGGCCCUAGCUUCUUGAGGCAGUGCCAGUCGCAGUUCUCGUUCUUGAAGUUCUUCUUUCAACUCAUCCGCCUUUGGAGGUUAGCUAUAGCUAGGCCCAUAAUGAAUUAGACUAGAAGCAAGCUCGACCUCUGUAAUAGUACAAGCAGAAGAAAUCCAAAAACUCUACAUAUUAAGCUGUAAAAUCAAUAUAUAAGGAUCUUUGAGCUUAACUAAGGCGCAAAGAAUAUUGCGAAGGCUCAAUUUGAGGAGGAAAGAAUAUUGCGGAAAAGAAGAAAGGAGCGCAAGGCGCAAAGUUCGGUUAAUUACGGAAAGUCCGGAGGACAGAUAAAGAAAGGCUUUUGAUUUGACUUUUCCAACUCCGUUCCAGUUCGCCAAGGAGUGUGAGUCUUGAGCGGAGGCAUAAAAAGCCGAAUCAUAAAGACGGAGCACCACCCACUCUUUUUGAAAGGGAGAAAACGACUCAAAAAAAGAGGAGCAUCUCCAUGGGCGAGGACUCUUUGGACGGAGGACGAGGAUCAGAAAUCAAGAAAGCACUACGCGGGAAGAAUGGAUAUUGUCUUAGGAGCAGCGAGACCGCGGAAGGACGAGUCUUAUUCCACCAAGGACCACGACGGAGCAGCUCGCAUAUUGAAUUGGGCCUCCUCGAAUAUGAAUUCAUCCUAACAAAAAGAAGAAAUAUCCUCUCCGUUAGGCGCAAAGAAUUUGCGAAGGACUAUCCAUAUUAACCUGUGACGCCUUCUGACUAUUCAUCAUAUUUUUAAGAAAGCACUGGACUUUUCUUUCUCUUUGACAAUUGUAAAAGAAGGUGAAAUAUCCUUUAUAGGUCUGACCUUUCAAAGGUAAGAGGUCAAAGCAAAGCAAGCUUGCGAAGCAAGCGAGGCAAGAGCUUCUUUCAGCUUUUCCCGAACCAUUUGAACUCCAAUUUUUUCCUCUGCUGCUUUCAGCCCACUCCACUUCAUUGACCGAGACUUUCUAUUCGGUUAAAGACCUAGCCACGAGACCAACUCCUGUCUUCUGAGAUCAAUUCCCAGAUGCUUCGAGGCCGCAAGCUUCUUUAGUUUAGAGAAGGAGAUUUCUUCUGAAUCAGGGAAACUGCUCAACCGGAACUCUUCCCAUAGGCAUGAUUAUGCACUAGCAAGUUCCAAGAAGAGAAGUCAUAAGCCAAAGAUGUAUUCGAUCCUGAAUUUCAGGUAAUCUUGGCCGAUUGGUGGGCCCACGUAGGGCUUUGAUGAGCGAAAGAGCAUCCUCAACUCCCAGUCCCGGGUAAAGGUCAAGGUCUUUCAAAAGUCCAGAGAAGAAUUUUCAAUGGAAAGGAGUCAAGUUCAUCCGCAGGGAAGGCAAUCCAAUCGUCGGAAGAAGCGUCUUUCAAAAUCAAGCUCAUCCUCAUCAUUCAAGGCAUAUUUCAUUCCGCCUCAGUCCUAUCCAUAUUAACCCAGAGACUGUUAAGGAGUGCAACUGAUUAAUGGAAAAAAAUAGUCAUUUGAGAAAGAUUCUCUAGACAAAAACCUCCCUAGCUAGCUGCAAUCCAAACCUCACCUCUCCCAUGUUGGGAAUUCUCUUCUGCUCGUGGAUAUCUAAUGCUAGAAGUUCGAGCAAAUAUAAGGAAGCCGCAGGCUUAGGUUCGUCAUUUAUUGACGGAUUUUCCGGGCUUAAAUGACUUUCUUUUUCCUUCUACCAAUCCCAGUUCGGCUAAGACGAGGCAAUGUAUAUUGUUUUCAGUGGCACGAGCUUCUUCUUGUGAUGAGACUUUGGAUCAAUUGAACCGGGUCCAGGGGUUGACUCUAUGGCUAUUCCGCUUUUUCCGACAGCUGCUAACUCACUGGCACGCUUAAGGCCCUUGCGCCUGGUCUUUCAAAGCCUUGGGCUUGAGCAAGGUUCGAAUUCCGGGUUUUAUAUAUAUAUAAAAGGUGGGAGAACUCCGAGCAAUAUUCUUUCCUCCUUGCCUCUCUUUUCAAAUGCUCUUAAAUAAAGAGCGGUUACGCCAUCAACAGCGAAAUCGAUGGCACUCGCCUUCUUUCAGCAUUGAAUAAGUAACUUCCUUUCCCACCUCUCCCUUCCGCUGCUAAGCAGAAUAUAGCUCUUCUUCCUUUCCUCCCGGGUGAAGAAAAGCCUAUUCACCUUUGCUUUAAUGGCGAAGGACUCUUUCUGGUAUAAGGCGAUUCAAUCUUCUUUGAACCUAGUGAACAUCUUCUUUUGAUUGCUAAACUCUACUUGAGACUUUCCCUUUGAAUCCCUUCUAUCCUUCCCUCCUUACCUCUGUCUACAGAGCCCAUCUAAAUGCCUCAGCCUAAGACAUCUCAGUGGAAUGCCUCUAAUGAGCUCUUUCCGGCAGCAAGUCUCGGGUAUUCUAUCCUCCCAUACAUCCUUCCGACAAGGCAUGAAAUAGCAUAAGAUAAGGCUUCGCUACCUGACUUCUCAGCCAUUCUAUAAGCUAUAAGAAAAGUCAAGAGUAAUCAAAUCGAUAGUUAUUACGGAUCUCAUAUUCCUUAUUAACCUUGGCUACACCAUCAGUCAUUUCCUUUUUGACUACCCCAUAACCUUCUCUUGCUUGGUGUUCCAACCAAGCCGGCAUCCGAGCGGCCCACGGAGAAAAUGAGAAAAGGAAAGAGGAAAUUUCCCUUGAGCCACAGAAGAGAAGACAAAGGAUUAGCCUUUGACUAUGCUCAGGCUUCACACCAAGUCAAUCCUAUAUAUAUUCUUUGCACCUCUCCUUUCAUUCAAUAUUCUUUGAACCUUCUUCAUUGAGCGGAGGACUUAUCCUCUUAUUAGUUUCUUUCUAGUCUUUACAAUCAUCAAGACCUCCGGACCGAUCGGUCUAUAAUAUCCAAGCAAGAACAACGGACACUUCAACCGCAGUAGACCAUUUCCCAUAUGGUGGUCUUUCUUCACCCUUUGGAGGAUUGGAGGUCUUACUCCGCGCGCCCUUUUCUGUACGGGUACGUGCCCUUUAUCGUCUUUCUUUUCCGCCUAAGAUUCCUUGUUUAAUACGAGAAAUCUCAAAGUACAUUUUCAGCAAAAAAGACCCGAAGUAGGAAAUGCAGCAAGUUUUGUUGUCAAAUCAAUGGAUUUUCCUUCUUAUAGAAAUCUCGUUUUGUACAUAAAUUGCGUAAAGAGCUAUUUGAGCACUUAAACAUAGAAAGGGGAGAAUGGGUCGUCAGUUAGCAUUUGCUAAAGAAAUGCGCAAUCAACUCGUAUAGCCUACCCAACUUAAUAAAGAGACUCCGCUACUUCAGUGGAAGAGGUGGAAUUCGAUCCAGGCUGAUAGCUCCCCAGAUCCUGCAACAGACCUCGCAAUAUUCUUUGCACCCCAAAAAAAGUGUGAAAUCCGCUAAAGUGCUACUGCCUUCUGAGUUCUUGCUUCCCUUCCCACUCCUGUAAACUCUGUAAAGCCUAUUAUUUCCUUCUCCAACUCGGUAUUCGGUAUAUUGAAUAAGCGCUCGCCAGCACAGCACAUCCUCAAAGAGAAUUCCAAAAAGAAAGGUCCAGGGUCCGGAGUCCUACGUCCGCAGGAUUUAUCCUACGUCCGGAGGAUUUAUCCGUAGGACCAUCCAUAUGGAGGGAAGUAGGACUAUCCAUAUGGAAGUAGUCCGGAGUCCGCAGGAUUCUUAUCCGUAGGACUAUCCAUAUGGAAGUAGGACCAUCCGUAAUUAACCGAAGUAGUCCUCCGGACUUUCCGUAAUUAACCGAACUUUGCGCCUAGCCGAAGGACCUGUUCAAAGUCAAUCAAAGAAAAUCCGUUCAUUAACGAUAAUGAAAGAAGAAAAAAAGCAAAUUCAUCUGCUAGAUUUCAGACAUCUUUGCUUAAUGAAGACGGAGUGAAUUCCAUGAUUUUGCAAGGUUUUGCCCAUAGGAAGUAGCAAGAAAAGACAAAAAAUCAGUCAAAAUUGAUCUAUUUUCGUUAAAUAUCAAUAUGAGAAAAAGUAUGAAAAAGAAGCAAAAAAGCCGGGAAAUAGCAACUGGUCCAUUAUCAAAAUCUAGGUCAAAGAAAUUCUCAGUUCUAGUUUGAGUUUCUGGUCCGGAUACUGACGGGUCUAUUCUGGAUUCCGCUCCUCCGUUCUAAUGGCGCAAAGAAUAUUGCGGUCAUGAUUCCCAAGGCUAAUAUGGAUAGUCCUUGCACUCCGUCCUCUUGACUCGUUUUCUCUUCUUAGAUAAAUGCGCUUCUCAAUAUUCUUUGAGCUCUUUAUUCAAUGAUCUUUGAGCCUUAGUUAGGAUCAAUGAAAUUUGAUUGUUGAGAGAACGAAUUCUUCAGCUGCUUCAGUGAAUGCACCAAGGAGCUCCUAUUCUUCUGACUCUUCCAUCCUGCCGCUGAGCUCCUAGCCGGUCGUUCUAAUUCCUCCUCCGCGACUGGAUUACCGCUACGUGGGGUAUGCCGAACUUUCUUCUUCCCUCGUUCAGUUGAGCUGCUUCGUAUCCGUCUGUGUGAGCGGCUCGCACCUCGCCCUCUCGUGGCCUCGUAUUUUUCUCUUUUGAGGUUACGAACGGAUAAAGAAAAUGUGUCUGAGCGGAACGAUUUACUGAAUAUUCUAUGAUAUACGAAACUGUAUAAUGACCCAAUAGCAAGAUCCGUCAAACUCGUAGUAAAGCUGCUGAGCCCCUUCCCCUAGGCUUUCUUCUUAUGGUCGGCUUCCGAGGGGAGGGGUACGGUUCUCCUGAGUUUACUUAUUCAGGUAUACCAUUAAGAAUCAGACUGAUCAAGGCAGAGGAAGGGCCUCAAGCAAUAACUGAAAUCGGAACAUCACUCAAUAGUAGCAGCUUGGGCCCAUAGAGGAGGGUUGAUCUGGUAUGCUUUUCCUGCAUUUCUCUUUUUUUAGUGGUCUAAUCAAUAUAUAAAGAAUAGUCGCAAUAUUCGAGCAAUAUUCUUUGCGCCUACGCGGACGGGUCAAAGAGACUUGAGUUUUUUGAUGCUUUUUCGCAGCACUAACCAGGCGCUUAUUAGCCUAUUUCGGCCCCCUCUCAGUAGAACCUACUAAAAAGAUGAAAGCCUAUCUCCAACCCUUUCUUCUUCAACAUGGGAAAGAUCUCAUUCAAGAGGAAGUAAAGCAGCUUCCACUCGGGAUGCAGACUGAAAGCCGAGGCGCCCGUGGUCCUCAGUCUAGUUGAUAAUAGGAAGUCUUCCCCUAUCUCAAAAUCGAGCCCUCACUCUCGCACAAGACCCCUUUAUUUAUGGAUGUUCAUUGAGCCUCAUUCCGAUUUGACUGACUCUUAGGCACAGCUUCAAUGGCACAGCCACUCAUAGAUAGAGUUCAAUCGCUUCUCAAUAUUCUUUGAUCCUCGCAAUAUGCGCCUCCGGUCGGUCGCUCCGGCUAGUCUCUUCAAUAGGAGGUCCCACCUGGAUCCGCGAAUGAUUUACCUCCUUUUCAUCUCUUUAUGGGAGGGAAUGGAUGGACGGUUGAAGGAAGACCAUACCUUGGUAGAGUACGAGUACAUAACUCCAGAAAAAGAAGACGCCCACUCCGCGGUCCCAUAAGACAGGGAUAUUGAUGAGAGCGAUCUACUAAGAAGAAAAUCUACUGAAAGAAUGCUUUCAACCACUGCCACUGGUGCAAGCAAAAGAGAAAGGGAUGGUGGGGUUCGCUUCGGCUUCCUUCCAUUAGCCUCCCUCUGUACUUUCAUCCUAUAUAUUAGCCGACUGAUUUAUGGAACAUAGACCACUAGGCUUGAUCUUCUUCAAAGCCCUCCUUUUGAUAUUGAUAGGCUUGGAGUUGAUUCUUGUGUCUGACUGAACUUUCUGAAGGCAAAAACCAUAGAUUUGAGGCUUCUAUUCCCCAGUGGAGUCGCCAGCAGUAGGGCCCGCAUUUUCUUUGGCACCGCUUCCCACAUCAUCACUACUUUGGCCACAAAGCCCUAUCAAAAGAAAGAGGAGAAAAAGGGGUUUAGAGGCUUUUUUCUUCCUUUGAUUUUAGGCCGACGGACUCAAGAAUUUGACAUAGAGUCUACGAACCAUUGGUCCGGGUAAGGCCUUCCUUUCUAUAUUCCAGUAUAGUAGCGGGCCCUUAGCGCAGGCAAGAAAUCCAAAAAAAAUCAGUCUUCCAACACGAUUUUUCUUUAAGUAAUGGCCCCAAAGGCGGCUCAUUGAGCCGGUCAUCGGUUGCUAAGAGCCUUUCCUCACUUGAAAAAGCCACUUUUCUUACUGGGACGAAUAUUCGUUCACUGAAAUCGUCGGAUCGACCGGGCCAUAUUUCCUUUUCAUCGGUUGAUUACGCAGAAAAAAGGGAAGAAGGAGCGAGUUAAGGAGAGGAGGCGAGAUCUAAUAUGAGUUGAGAAGCGCAUUUCCUUAGUGGUCCUAAGCCCUUCCUUCCAUAUGGAUAGUCCGGAAGAUUCAUCUGUAGGACUGCGGACUCCGGACUCCGGACCACUACAAGGCGCAAAGAAUAUUGCUCAAAGCAAAGAAUAUUGCGUUAGAAAGGGGAUUAUCUGAAUCCAGAGGUCAGGAGAGAGAGGUAUGAUAAUAUGCUUUCCCAUAGGCCGAGCGGUUAGAAGGAUGCUGUGAAUCUCGAAGUAUUCUCCAAAGGAAAGUCUCAGUUGCCGAAGCUCUGUAGUAAAAGGAAAAUAACUCAUUGAUGUCUUCUCUUCUUAUGAAGGAGUAAUCAGUCUCCAUCAAAAGAGUAUGCAUAUUUGGGGGGCUGAUGUACUUGCCCGCUCGGCCUUCUUUCUUACCGAGAAGGGUGAAGAGCCAGUUGCGGAUGGAGAUUACCUAGCCUCAAGCAAUAAUGAAGAUAGGAAUAGGAUCGAAGGAGGAAUGAGUUACUUCACUCUUAGACGAGAGAGAGCUUUCCCAAGCACCGGAUCCGGGGAUGAAAGCUAUCCGUUUCGGAAGCAAGGGGGCUUCAAUUCGGUCGGGCUAGGUGCCCGCUGUAAGGAGAGGUUUCGAUAGGGUGCGCAGGUGAGAAUCCGAGUUUAGACCUCAGUGGAAAACUUCCCCAGUGGGAUAGGUCUUAAUAAGGAAAGAGAUUUUCUCUUCUUUACGGGAAAGGUUAUCUUUUCUCUUUAGGGUAGCUAGGCAGACUAGAGCUCGGAAUAUGCUCUCCAAAGUAGCUCAGUAGUCUUAGGAGUAGGAUAUGGAGUGGCUCUCGGGGCAGCGAGAGUGGAGUGGGACCAAGGACGAACUCCUUUAGUUGUAGAGUGGUAGAAGACGAAAGAUUCCAGGAAAUUCCUCUUCUUUUCUUUCAUUCCACUGCCAUUUUCGGAUUGAGUCUAUAAGUAAGACUGAUUUAGAUAUGGAUUUGAGAUUCUUCCAUUUCCCCGGUCUUUUUCUUCAUUUUUGGAUUCUCCUGCUUUUAUGAAAAAAAAUCUGAAUAUAAAUCAGUCCCACUAUUUAAGUCUUAUUCCACUAAAAGGCUGAAUUCAAUUUUCGUGACUCGACUCACAUAAAAUAAAGAGGGAUGGACACGCCUGAUACCAAAGUCGGGUGAGUAUGGUCUCUCUUUCGUGAAUCAGAAUUCAGGCUAGUAUGAAUCUCCUAGGAGAGAGGAUGUCUCAUCCGCUACAGUUACCGAUGAAGUGACCGCUGCCCACUGGUCUCGCUGGCCGGCCCAAACCCUAGGUUUUCUUCCUUUUAUCUUAUGCUUUACGAAGAGUUUCUUCUAACCACUGGUGGGAAACUGCCCUCUCUCGCAUUUCAUGGGUUCCUCCUCUCCCGCUACGUGGGGAGGUCAAAGAGGAAUUAAUCAGUCCUCCGCCUAAUUCAUAUGGGGAUCUGCUCAUUCAUAUGGAUCAAAAUCAGUCCCACUAUUUCAAAAGAAAUAUUCAUUGCGCCUCGUCUGAAGACCUUCCACUCGGCCGCUCUCUCUCUCUGUGAGGCUUGACUCAAGCGAAGAGAAGGCAGUCAACCCCGCAAUCAACUCAGUCUUCCCCAGCAGCCCGAGAUCUUCUUCCACUCCCUUGCUCCCUUUCGUACUUAUCUUUAUCUGUCUUCUUCUUCCCAUUUCAGAUGAUAAUGGCAGAGACUGAUUAUGAUACGGAAGAGCUACUCUCUGACGGGAAAGCUGCCAAGGCCUGUCGAUACUUCUGACUCUGGAUCCCUGACCUUUCUAACCUAACCCCCCUUCCGAUCCCUACUAACCCACGGGGCGGAAUCUGAGAAGAACAUCGAUCAGUCGCUUGCAGGAUUUCUGCCUUCUCUUCGCGAUCGGGAAAUCUUUUCUUCUCCUUUUCUAUCUCAUUAUCUCAUUCUUUACGAAAUGCCAUAAAUUCGAUUCUGAGGCCCGUCUAUAAAGUGAUUUUACGCACGUGCCCCAGGAAAAUGCUCAUUCAAAGCAAGGAUGGAUCUUCUUUCUGUAGUCCUUGCUGGAGCCCACUACGCGCUUGCCUAACCCUAGUUCUAGCUCCGAUCCUUAUCUUUCUUAGCAGAAAGCUCUUUCUCGCUCCUUGGAGAAUGCUCUUUCUGAUCCCGAGCCAAGGAUUCAUUCUCCUCCUUGUCAAUAUUCUUUGAACAAGGCUUCCGCUUAAAUCUUUGACUAUACUAGCGCUUUCGACUUGAUAGUGGAACCUUUUCUUUUAGGAGAUGAUGCACAAAUAGAGUUCUUGGUCUCGGGUAGAUAUGGUAGAACAGUGUCUCGUAGCAUUUAAGAAAAGAGAGAGCGCACUUCUCAAAUUCUUUGAGCCGUCCUCCGUCCUUAGUCGUUCUUUAUAUCCAUAUUAGCUUUUCGGCCAAGAUGACAUUCUUUCUUUUUCCAUGAAUGAGUCCGGAGGACUGGUCUCACCUCCCAAAAAUACCCAACCAAGGCAUCCCCUCUUCCUUCCUGUACGGAGUUCUCAUUCUUCUUCCCCAGCCGAUCGAUCCGGACCUGUCCUUUCCCUCUCGUCUUCCUCCACUCCUCCUUACUCCUUUUCAUGAGCUCCUGGGUUUCCAGCACUCUUCGAUUUCUCUUUUCUAAAAGAAAGAGAGUUUCUAGAUAAGCCUCGCCUUAGGAAUAAGGAUCUCAUUCCCGAUCUUUCUACUACUGGAAGAACUAAAGCAGCAAAAGCAAAUCAACUUCAACGGAUGCCUCAUCAGAACCUACUAAAGAAAGCCUACCGCAACAAAGAAAAGAGGUCAAGGAAAGCCUACCUUGAAAUGUGGUCUUCUCAUUCCACUCAAUCUUUCUGUCGAGCAAUCGUCUUCGCCCGAUCCGAAAGAUCUCAUUCCGCUCGAGCUAAGCGGUCCUUUUCUCGUAUCCGUCUCUUGAGCUGCUUCCUAUCCUUCCUUCUAUGGCUUCGCGGAGAUCCAAGGAGUUGUCUUUCUUGCUAUGGCCCCCGGCCGGACCCCUUCCACUCCUUUCCCCCCGGUCAUUCCAACCUUCACCAAGGCAUCCUUAAUCUCCAAUCCCGCAUCCUAAACCUACUGCGCUUGACUCAGUAUAUUGACUAACUACCCCCGAUACAGGAUAAUAGACUUCUUCCUCAAGAGGAAAUGAUAAGAGGCGAAUGGUCGAGCUUAUUCUAAGGUUCAAGAGAUCAUGCCCUAUCUUCAACCGUGGGCUUACUAAAUACUUGGCUUUUCUACCGCUACGUGGGUAUCCCGAGUUUGCAUGAGAAAGGGUUUAUUCCUCAACGCCUCUCCAAAUUCCCAUAGAAAGAGAGGUCUAUUCUUCUCAAUAUUCUUUGACCCUCCAGGUGAUUCAAUCAGAAUUCUUCUUUCAUUCGAGUGAAUGAGUUCAUUCUGCUUUCAUUCUCGUUAAUGAGCUUCUUUGAUUGACUUUUCACAGGCGCAAAGCAUAUUGCGUGUUUGCGUGUUUGCGUGACAAAGAAUAUUGCAAGAAUGCAGAAAGAAGAAGAAGAUCAGUGCUUACCCACUGGAAGACCAUUAUAAAGGACUUAUAUCUUUUCGUUAUCAACCACUAUUUAGAGCACUUGAUGACUGAAAUCUCUUAUACACUGUACUAAUCGCAGAGCUUGAUAAAUGACUAUUGAAUAUUGAGAAAGAUAUAUUGAAAAAGUCGUACAGAGUAUGAAAUUCUGAGAAGAAGAGGACUGGGCUUAACUUUCUCUGAUUAUUUCAUUCGCGGAGCUUUAUAAAGAAAGAGAAGUCGCAUGCACUAUCAUUAUUCAUAAAGCACUGAUCAAGGAAGGGCCCAAUAAAAAGGGACUGAUUUUUCCUCUUGUUUUGGGGGCUCGACUAAGAGAUGCGGUUACAGACGUGACCGUCUUCCUGUGCCAGUUGUGGAAGUUGCAGAAUUCGUUCUUGCUGGAUAAGUUUCUCUUCAGUCCCAAGGCAAUUAAUAUCAUUUUCCUUCCGGGGAUUCUUUUCCUUUCUAUGUCGAAAAGACUAUAUAAAAGAAUCAAUCCCGCCUCAGCAUGAAACCUCUAUUUUCUCCUUUCGGCUUCAGAGGCCAGUCUGAGGAGUUUCCCGGGCGCCUUAUAAAUAAAGAAGCCGAUCUCCAUCCACGGGUUUCUAGCAUAAAGGAUGGGGAAUGAAAGGCCUGUGAUCCCCGAUCCAGGUUCUACCUCUUAUAUGAUGCGUGGGGAGUCCUGUACGCUUAUUCAUCCCUUCCAUUAUACUUGUUCAUGAAAGAAAGAAAAUAUGGGAAUCUUUCCACUAGAUCUCGAAGAAAAAGAAGCCCCGCACCAAGGGCAAGAGGGAAAAGCCAGGGUCUAUCCUUUACUGGGGGUCACUCCGAUUCCUGUAUUGGUAUUGAGUCCUUGGGUUCAGUCUCCUUUCCUGCUAAUAAGAAAUUCAUCGAAAUCCUUUAUAACUUCUUCUUCUCAUCGACUACGUCUCCUUCGGAACCUGCGAAUCCGCGAUUCAUUCAUUAUUCUUUCUAAAUAAGAAGAUAUGAAGAACUGCUCAACCCCUCAGCCCCUUUGGUCCGGCUCUUCUCCGAUUGGAAAGAUCUGGUACGGAGUCUUCCCCGGCCCUGGACACUUGGAGUACUGAGUGGGAUUAUGAAUUUCAUAGUUCAUGGGGACUCAUUAAUUCGAUUUCUUUUAUUCAAGACGAGACUUAUCCAUUCGCUACCACCAGUACCAUAUUCCCUUCCAGGUGGUGGGGUUCCUUCAUUAAAGACCGGUAACUCCGAUCCCGUAGGCCUGAUCAAAGGUCAAUCUUGGGUUAAGACCGAUCCGAGAAGCGAGAAGAGAAAGAAAAAAAAGAGAAUGGUUUUAGUAAAGGAAGGGAACUCCUCUUGCCCCUUUGCGAACCAUCUCGAUCGGGUUCAGACAGAUAAAGAUCCCCACGUAGCGGGAAGAGGCCUCAAGGUGGAAUUCUACUCUGACAGGCGCGUAUUAUCUGGACCGCCCGUCUCAAAUUUCCCCUCGGUCAAUGAUAAGUACGAUUAGCAGAACGAAGGCAGAAAGGAUCGGAGCGGUCGGUGCCUAGGUUAUUCAAUCUACAGAAUGCAGAGUCAAGCGAGAAAGAAAGAGAACUAAACUAAGACGGGACUCGAGACGAGGCGAGAUCUAAGCGCGUAGUGGUCAAAUCUGAUUAUCAAUAUCAAGAGCGGAGACGGAGGUUACGAGAAAAAAGAGUAUUCAAGAUCAGAGACAGAGGUUCAAAGAAUAUUGACAAUGAACAAGGAUCAGAUAGAGAAAAUAAUUGCGGUCUUACUCAAUUCAAUCUCAUUUUUUUUUCUUGUGUGCGAUUAUUCAUUAUUUUGAUUCGAAUGACGGAGUACCUCUUUCAAGGUUAUCCCUAGGUCUGGACCUAGAUCAACUUAAGUGAAAUGGAAGGCAAUAUUCUUUCCUCCUCCUUCUGAACCAUUUGCUUUGUCAAACCCAUUAGAUUCGGGCUGCUCUUGGGAAGUAGAUUUAGGUAUGGGAAUUGAUCUAAGUUAGGGUCUUUCUGACUAAAGCUCAUCAACCCUAAUCUAAUUAAGACUUCGUCCUUUCGCUACGCUACGAGACCUCCGACUUAUUAGAGAAAGGUGAUACCAUCUCUGACUCCUUUCGGAUCCUUCUGCGCCUAUCGGUGAAUAUGUAUACUUGAGAAGGUUGAGAUGAUCUCUUGUAUACAAUGAAAUUAGGGAUGGAGAGUCAAAAAUGCCAGCUUGAAUGAGGAUACCCUGACUCCUCUUUGGUUUAUGACCCAGCUCUAUAGAAAUUGGUAACUUACUUCGUUCAGUCUGACUCUUGCUCUGAUUCUGCGGGUUCGGAAAGUCUCUUCCCUCUUCGCCUAUCGUCCCUUGACUUGAUUUGCCGCUGGGAUGUUUCAAAAAUCAAAGAAAGAAAGGUGCAAAGAUCUAUGGCCCCACUACGCGGGAUAUUGUGGGCUAUUCUAAACCAUCCCUUCUCGCUUUAUAUUUGACUUUCUCUCUCAAAUUCUUUGAGCCUCGCCUAGAUAAAAGAUCAUAAACUAAGAAAGGGAUGACCCUACUUCUCUUACGUACGUAACAAAGAACCUUUGACUCGACAGAAGAAGCGAAACUCUACUCGCAUAUUGCUCUCUAUUUAUAAAUAAACUUAGCUCAAGAAAAUUCCCAAGAAUAUCCCGUCCGAAGUCCUUCAUUCGAUCUUUCUUUCUCUGGGUCCUCCGUUUUAGAGUCCUACUUCGGUUAAUUACGGAUGGUCCUACUUCGGUUAAUUACGGAUGGUCCUACGGAUAAAUCCUCCGGACUACUUCCCUCCAUAUGGAUGGUCCUACUUCUAAUGGAUAGUCCUACGGAUAAGAAUCCUCCGGACUCCGGACGUAGGAUAAAUCCUGCGGACUGCGGACUCCGGACUACGGAUAAAUCCUCCGGACCUGUCUUAUGGAACCUUCGGUCUUAAUACUCCUAACUACGGGGUGAGGUGCAAAGAAUAUUGACAGUCUUUCUCUCUCGCAGCUGAGACUCGGCCCUUGCUUCCUGCCAAUGCAUUCUCAUACCAACUCCUAGAAGAUAUAGCAUAUUCUCUACCCACUACGCGGUAUUCUACCUGCGGAUAGCUGAUCUUCCCGCUCCGUGGGCUAAGUAGAAGAGGAAGAAGAGAAGACCAGAGACUUGGCCGCCGACAGAAAAGGGGUCCUUUCCUUCCGAUCCUGGGCCUGGUCCCUUUCGUCGAAAGUAAUAAGUCGAUAACCCUGAAAUGAAACUGAAACCUACACAGCAAGAACGACCUCAAUGAACAAGGGGCCCCAAGAGGACGUUGAAAGAAUGAAUCGCCGAAAUGAAAUAAUGCAUUAAUCUCCUCGCGAAUUAGACGCCCGACCAAAGGUUCUUUCAUCAUCAGCAUAUGUGGAUUCAGUCGGGACGUUUUUGAGGUUCUUUUGCACGAUCUCAAAACCCACUACGCGGCGCUUUCUUUACAUCUUUCGACCUUAAAGCCACUUAUCUCAUAACCUCACGAAUGAAAGAGCAUGCAGACUGGUUAGCAGCUUCAUACCGCCCCCUGGGAUGGGAAUACGAGACAGCGGACCACUCUCCUACUCUUUCUAUUCGCAUAACCGAUCUCCUUUCCAGUCGUAUUCAAACCUCUGCCUAUAUUGGGGAGGAUUCUAGACGCGGGAAGAAACCUAUCCAAAGCCUGAGAAUCUCGCAAUAUCAAUAUUCUGCUUUCGAGCAAUAUUCUUUGCGCCUUCUACGCGGUCGUCCUAAUCCCUUGUUCAUUGAGGUGAGGACCUUUGUUUUUGGAGGAGUUAUCUACCCUUUCUUUGCUUUGUUUAUGGAUCAAAAUCAGUCCUUAAAAUGAACCAAAAUCUUCUUCUCAACAAUAUCCCUGUCUUAUGGUAUGGAGCCUUCAAAAAAGUGGAAUAAGACUCCUAACGUCAGAAACAUUUACCUAUUUAUCUUUAUCAUGACUUUUUCUCAAUAUUCUUUUCUUUCUAUUAGCUCCAUUAAUCAGUCGCAAUAUUCUUUGCACCUUUCUUUCUCAGGAGCGGAAGCGUAGCGUAGCGGACAGCCUUAAAGCACUUGCUUUCAGCGUAGCAGAGCGGUGGGUUCGCUGGCUUCUCCCUUUCUUUUCCAGCGGAGCGGACAGGACACCUACCUUUCUUUUCUCUUUUCCAGAAAAUCGCUGCCUGAGCCCUUAAGAUUUUCAGCUACGCGUAGCGGUGCCUUCGCCCCUCUCCUUUCAGUCGAGCUUCUUCGCCCUGAUGUGAUGACUCUUUCCGUUGGUUCUUGCUGUUGGGCUCCGCCCCGUACACUGACUUCGUGUACUUACUCUGUACUUCUUAUACUUGACUUCUUGUACUUCUUGUUGUCGGGCUCCGCCCCUUAUACACUGACUUACCUCUUGUACUUACCUCUGAUUGUACUUCUUGUUUUGGGCUCCGCCCCGUAUACUUACCUCUUCUUGUUGUUGUUGGGCUCCGCCCCUCACACUUGUUCUUUCUUUCCUGCCUCUUCCACGCAAUAUUCUUUGCACCUCACACGCAACUCAUAUUGCAUUGAGCCUCUUGUUGCUGUUCUCAAAUUCUUUGCCCCUUAUACUUGCUCUUCUUCAACUUCUUGUUGUCGGGCUCCGCCCUCGCAAUAUUCUUUGCGCCUAGCCGUCACGGAUUGGUUUACGCCUAGACGGGAUAGAACGAAGAACGGAUCCGCUUUAGCCUAGAGGGAUAUUCGGAUAAGCGGAUCAGCCGAUCUUGCUGUUUUGACCUUCUUUGUUGCCUAGAAGGAAGAGACAAUUACAGAGGUGCAAAGAAUAUUGCGGUAAGAUAAGAAAGAGGGAGAUUAUGAAGAAAAGAAGCGGAUAAGCGGAUCAGCCGAUCUUGCUGUUUUGACCGCGUAGUGGGUUACGGAGAAGAAGGAAGGGUGAAGGGUGAAAGAGAGAGAAGAACUUCCGAAAGAGGUCUCGCAACCGCGUAGUGGGCAUUGACUGCAUAGCUGCUGAAUACCUAUCAUACUUGUCCGGCUUUUCAUUGUCGGCCAUAUCGAUCUGGCUGCCUUCUUGGGGCUUCGCCCUUCAAUAUUUUCAGCGGAGCGGAGUAGCAGAGCGGUGGGUUCGGGGGGCUUCGCCCGCGGAGGGGGUUUGAUCCAGGAGCGUAGCGUAGCCUUUAAAGAAGCACUUGAUCCCUUAUCAAAAAAUAGGAAGGAUCCAUAAGACAGGGAUAUUGUAAGAGAAAGGGAUAUUGUAAGAGAAAGGGAUAUUGUAAGAGAAAGGGAUAUUGUAAGAAUUUGUGGAUUCUUCUUAAUCAGUUCAUUAACGAGAAUGAAAGAAUAAUUCGGAUUGAAUAACCUGGAGGGAAAUCCAGAAUAGACCCGUAUUUCUCCGGACCAGAAACCAUAAGAAAACUCUGUUCAUUGAUUUUACCUGUCCUAGGAGUUCUUCUUUCAUUGCGUUUUCCCGGCUUUUUUGCUUCUAAAUAGGACUAAAUCAAAGAUUUCUAUUUAACGAAAAUAGAUCAAAAAUGACAGAUUUUUCAUGAUUUCUUGCUACUAUUUCUUUUCAGCUCUCCUUAUCAGUCGAGCCCAAAACCUAGCAUUUCCCUCCGCGGAUUCAUCUGAAAUCUAGCUCUGAAAUCUAGCAGAUUCAUAAUUCUUCUUUCAUUCUAGUUAUGAAAUCAUAAUGAUUCUUUCAUUCUCGUUAAUGAGCUUCUUUCUUUGCGCCUUUCUUUCUCCGUCCGAAGGACUAUCCAUAUUAAUCGCGGAAGCGGAGCGUAGCGGAAAGAGCCGCAAUAUUCUUUGCACCUUUGUUUGAUGUUUGAGAAAAGAAAAAUCGCAAGUCAAAUUCUCUAAUGGAUAGGCCUCUAAUUUAUCAUAGCGAAUAGUCCAAAAACAAAGGUCCAGAUGAAAAAUAGCAUUUUACCGACUCCUCCUACGCUAUAUACUCCUUCGGACGUCCUCUGGACUAUUCAUCCUAUUACUUCUUUGAUUUCAAGCUUCCGUCGGACUGAUUAAUGGAACUAAUAUUUACGGGAGGCUCAAAGAAUUUGAGAUCAUUCUUUCUCCCCUCCAAAAUAAUUGAGCCUCAGGCGCAAAGAAUAUUGCUCGAAGGAUCAAUGAAAUUUGAUGAUAAAGAUUAGACUGAACUUUGAACCUUGUUCAUUGUCAAUAUUCUUUGAACCUUACUAAGGAAAGAAUGAAAUAAUUACUCAAAUUGUAUCUUAGCUUUAGGCUAGUCCUAGCUUACUCAACGACGAAUACGACUCUUUCAGUGGAUAGCAGCAAGGGCCCGAUCCAACUCGCUUGUACCAGUCUGCCUCUACUUUCUUUUUCCGACACUGAAUUCUUCCUCUUAGCCUGAACCUAGGCUUUCCUUCCUCUCAUGAUAUAUUCCUGAGCAAUAUUCUUUGCGCCUCUCCCGCCUUCUAAUUGGAUCUGGACCUUUCUUUUUGGACUGAUUUUGAUCCAUAUGACUCCGGACUGAUUAAUGGAACUGAGUAUAUUCACCUUUUAUUUGCCGCCUUGAUUUUCUUCAUGGAUUCUUCAAAGAGUGGAAUCAUUGAUUUGUUAUUAGAUAUCUCUCUCUCCUAAUCCUCUCGAAACUGCACUCAUUCUGAUUCAACUUCGGUCGUUCUAAUGGAUUUCUCAAUCUGAAGCCUUUCUUCUUUUCUUAGAUAAAUGCGCUUCGCUUCGCGCAUCUGGACCCCUCCGGAGGAGCAAGGAAUAGUGCAGCGCAAAGUGCGGAUAACUUCAAAAAUCUUUGAGCCUUUAUUUAGGCCUUCGAAUAAGGAGGAGCUUACCUCUCAACGGAUGAGGUGCAGCCAACUACUUAUGAAAGAAAAGGACUGAUUUUCACAUACUUAUGUAUGAAAGGAGAACCGCUACGUUUUCCUUUUCAGGCGACUGCAACUGCCAAAACGGACCUCUUCGCGGCUUCCCUUGACGGAACGAAGAGCGGCCUUAUCCCCUGCCCUGAUCGCGAGACGUGUAUCCUGCACCGCGGAGUGGGAUGCCUAACCCAUUUAUGUCUUCGACCCGAAGCUUCUUUGUUUUGAAGCCAUGAUGGAAAAGAAAAACCUUUGAAUGUGGGUAGAAGGGAACCUCAAAUCCCUUGUUUCCCACUUUCAGUUACUUACUCAACUAACUCUUAAGGAAGAAAGGUCAGACGAUAAAGCAGACCCUAACAAGACUAUUAUUUAAGACUAUUGAGCCCACGGAGCGGGAAGAACUGAUGAACAUAAGGCCUAAUUUUGGGGGCGUCCUUAGUGGUCUAAGCCCACGUAGGGGGAAGAAAGAAAAGAGCUCCUAAUCUCUGGGUCCUCCGUUUUAGAGUCCUUCGGUUAAUUACGGAUGGUCCUACGGAUAAAUCCUCCGGACUACUUCCUUCCAUAUGGAUGGUCCUACGGAUAAAUCACCUGGACCUUUCUUUGGCCCUGCGGACGUAGGACGUAGGAUAAGAAUCCUGCGGACUCCGGACCACUAUUUAAUAUUGAAAGUAAUAGCUAUCGAUCAUUCUUUGAGCUAUAAAGCCAUUAAUCAGUCCUUCGCUCAAUGAAGAAGGUGAAAAGAAUAUUUCAUGAAGCUUACCUUCCCUUCUUCCUUUUGCAGUAAGCGCCUCAAUGAAGAAGGGCUAUUUCAUCCGGUGCUAUGGCCCUUCCCGCCCUUGAUGCUUUAUUCUCUUCAGCAAGUUAGGAUGCAAGAAAGAAGGAUGUGACUGAGAUUCUGAUUAGAUGACUUUGAAGGAAAAGUGGUACUUUCUCUUUGCUUCAAUCAUAAGAUGGUAACCCGCCCUAAGCAAGAUCGGUUCAGCAGGCCAAUUCACGCAUCUUCCGCAGCCCUAUAUGGAAAUGCUCGCCUUCGUCUUUUUUUCAUCCGGACUGAACGGUAAACUUGGGGUUCAGAUACAUCGUACCCCUAUGAUGAAAUCCGCCUAUUCCAUGGAUAAAGAAGUCCCACGUAGGAAAAAUGGUCGUUUUUGGAAGGCAAUAUUCUUCGCUCCUGCUAACCGUCCUCCGGACUAUCCGUAUGAACCUAGCCUUCGGACCAGUCCUCCGGCGCAAUUCAAUAUGCGACUUUGAACCUUUUUUUUCCUCUUUCUCUGAUGAGACUGAGUUCUCUUGUCGAUGUAGAGACUGAUGGGAAUAGGUCCAUACGAUGGAAUAGGGUCUCUUGUCAACCAGUGAGCUGUGAAGCGGCCUUCCUUCGCGACAAGUCAAUGAUUAGGACACCUUUCAGCGUCCAAUGAGUUCAGGGAAGGGGUUCAAGCCCUAAUCCAAAGUCUAUCUUCGCUAUAUCUUAACCUUAGCACUUCUCUGUACUAAGCUCUUUCACCCUGCUUUAGUAAAUGGCGCGUCUUUGAGUUCGUACUAUUACUCAGCAUGCAAGGUAUUGGUCUUUCGGGAAGAAAAUCAGGCUUGAAAGUCUUCUUUGGUGGGAGCCGUAGUUCGUAUCGUCUAUUGGCUCCCAAUUAUCAUUGCCUAUCCGCUCGAAGCCUUUAAGUAAAGGACUGGGGAAUUCCAUCAAUACUGAUCGUAGACAAUUGAGAUUAAGUGGGAAGAGUAGACUUGAAAGCGAGCGGGAAGAUGGCUGGGAGUAGCCUUUAAGAGUGCUGGUCUACCCCGAUUUUCCCAUUGAGAGGGAGGGAGCCACCCCUAUUCAAUUAGUAGAGCUCUAUUGAACCUUGGAAUUGGCCAAUCACCAAGGGCGAUCUUAGGUUAGCAUUCUCUUAGAAUAGAACGAACUCGAAAAAUCAGCGGUACGGCACAGCCGGGGAGAGCGAAGAAAGGUAGAGCACAACUAUCAUUUUCAGAAAGAAUCCCGCAUCCGAAAGAAGUAAUGCAAUUGCUUGACCCAAGAAGGUAAGGGAGAGGAAAGACCCCUACCGCUAACUUCUCUGGCCUAAUCUCCCAGAAGAAGAAGAAGAAGAUUUAGUGGUUUGAAAGUCAUAAGAGGCUCAAAGAAUGAUCGAAGGCGCAAAGAAUUUGCGAGCGACAGAUGACUGAGCAUCUGAAAAAAAGAGAAAUAGUUAUGACUUUAGAAACUUGUAAGAAAGAGAAGAUCGGCCUGGACAGAAGAGGAAAGAAGACUCCUUAUCGAGGAGAAAAGUCUAAAAAAGAUAUCAUACUCCAGCUCAUAAGCUCAUUCUUUUCUGCAAAUGAGGCGUCCGAAGGACCAAACCUUUUUGACCGCUACGCUCCUCUCCGCGGUGAUGAACCGAAAAUCUGAUAAUAGAUAGUCCGGAGGACGGCUCAAGACGAGCCGUCCGCUCCUUUUGAGUCUGAUUCCACUAAAAAAAAUGACGACGGAGCACUCGUCCUACGUAGCUUAAUAUGGGAGUCAGAAAUCCCGGGUUAAUAUGGAUAGUCAUCUGGACCUUGAUUUUUGGAGGCUCAAAGAAUCUCACGGAGGGGGAUAGUCCGGAGGACUGUUAAGGCUCAAUGUAAUAUGAGUGAAACCUAUUACUUUUCCAUAAUACUUUCAAUAAAAGUGGCAAUAAUGAAAGAUCAUGACUUCCUUCUUCUUCUUUCUGGGAGUCCGGAGGACCGGUCUUCUCUCAAAUUUCAUUGAGCCUAACUAUUCCUUGCUCCUCCAGAGGGAUCAUGACUCUCGCAAUAUUCUCAAAAUUGGAAGUGGAAUCUCACGUUCCCUAAUGGAUAGUCCUUCGGACCUGUCUUAUGGAGCAAAAAGAAAGAAUGUCAUCGUAAUCUCAUAUUUCAUUGACCGUUAGGCGCAAAGAAUAUAUUUAGAGUUUACAAAUUAGGAGAAAGUGCUGAAGAAUGAACUCAUUAACGAUAAUGAAAGAAGCUAAAAACAAAAUUCAUCCGCUAGAUUGAAGACGGAGUGAAAUACAUGAUUUUGCUAGUGAUAAGGAGUCCGCAGUCCGCAGUCCUACGUCCGCAGUCCGCAGGAUUUAUCCGUAGUCCGGAGUCCGCAGUCCGCAGGGCCAAAGAAAGGUCCAGGUGAUUUAUCCGUAGGACCAUCCAUAUGGAAGGAAGGAGGACUAUCCAUAUUCAGGAGCGGAAUCAAGAAUAGACCCGUCAGUAUCCGGACCAUAAACUCAAACUAGAACUGAUCCAUGUGAAUUUCUGGGAUAGGCUUGAUUCUUUCAUUGCGUUUUCCCGGCUUUUUUGCUUCUUUUUCAUACUUUUUCUCAUAUGGAUAUUCUACGAUAAUUGAGUGAAAAAGAAGGAAUUUUCAUGAUUUCUUGCUACUUUAUAGGCCCAAAACCUAGCAAAAUCUUGUAUUUCCCUCCGUCUGAAAUCUAGCAGAUUAAUCUUCAAUCUCCCUCUUUCUUUUGAAUUCCCAUUUUUUUCUUCUUUCAUUAUCGUUAAUGAGUUAAUUAUUCUUUUCUUUUCUUGACUUUUCACAGGCUCAAUGCAAUUUGAGCUUUCACCGCUACGCUACGCUGGAGCUACUCCGAAAGAAAGGUGCAAAGAAUAUUGCCGGACUACUGGGGGAUAUUGUUGAGAAAGAAUUAUCUUUGCGAAGGUUCAGCUUCAUUCCUAGGGCAUGUCCUCCGGACUAUUCGCUAUGAUAAAACCACUAAUACUCCGAAACCUCGAUCAUUCUUUGUCUUUGAACGCUUCUUUGUCAUUGAGUUCAUCUUUUCACCUUAUUCUUAGGCGAAGGCGCAAAGAAUAUUGAUAUUGCGGGAACUGAUUUUCAUAGCAAAGAUUCCACUAAUAGAUUUGCCGACGAAUGAAUAAUGAAUAAAGCUUGCCGAUCGAUCUUUAAAGAAAAGCCUCUCUUCAAAGAGAUUACGAGACAGAUUACCUAGCAGCCAAUUCCCUGUCUUCUCUCUCUUUCCAUAUGGAAUUCCCUUGGAGAAUAGACGAAGAGAUGUGAGAGCUUCCACGGAGAAAAAAGAUAAGCCUACUCCAUCCUCUCAAAUUCUUUGACCCAUCUUUUGUAUAGUUAUAGUAUAGCUUCCGGCUAGUUCACACCGAUAAAGGAGAAUAAGAGAUAGGGUCAAGCCUAUUCUACUCCGGAUAUGGUCUCGUAGUAAUCCCCUUCCCCUUUUCAGAUCUGAGGCCUCAUCUAAUUCCCCUCGUAACCCCUUCCGAUUCCUUUGGUAUUCUACGAGGAGCUUUGCUCCCUCGAGCAGCCUUUCUCCUCUAGGUCGAGUCGUAAACAAAGUAUAUUGCCUCUCUGGCCCGGCUCGAGCAGCUUAGUAAUCCCCUUCUCCAACCCUUUGCUUCUGAAAGAAAGAGAAAGAGAGAAUGAAAUCUCUCGCUGGACGGGUUAGCUGUGUCUAACCUUCCCCUUAGAGAUAUGAUAAGACCUCUACAACUCGGUCAGCUCAAACCAAAAUAAUAGCCGCAAUAUUCUUUGCGCCUGGACCUUUCUUUUUGCCGCUUAAUGUCUAAUCUUUCUCAAUCUUCUUUCUCACGCAUAUUUCAUUGCGCCUCCAAAGUCAAAUUCUCUAAUGGAUAGGCCUUCGAGCAAUAUUCUUUGCGCCUUCCAGUCUUGUCAACGCAUAUUGAAUUGCGCCUUCUAUAUAUUCUUUGCGCCGGAGUUAGGAGCUAUUCCACUAACGAGCCUUUGGCUUUCUUCUUUUCAUUCACAUUACCGCGUAGUGGGAUUCUUUGAGCCUUGUUCAUUGACUUUCUUCUCUAGUAAAGCUUUUUUUUUGUUCAUGCUUCGCUAGGCUUGAUCUUUUUAGUGGGAAUAUAUAGGAUGAAAGUAGCGGCAUAAUAAUAGAAAGGUGGAAUCCUUGCUUUAUCUCUUUUUUCAUCCUCCUUCCCUUUAUCCUUUUAUUCCCUUUAUCUAAGAAAGCUGAAAUCUCGUGAAUGGAUGAGGACUGAAUUCAAAGUUCAAAUAGGAGGCUCAAUCCCACGGAGGGGGAGUCCGCAAUAAUCAGCCUACGUCAGGCUUUCGGUGAUUCAUUCAUGGUGGAUAAGGAUCGGUUUUCAUAUGCACAAUGGUUGAAUACAAGGAACCUCGUUCAUGAGCUAGGUCGCGGGAUACCAUUUUCUCAUGAAAGAGCGGACACAAGACAAGAGCCGAAACUCUAUAAGAAAAUCAAGCUCCAGAUGAGUUGACGCUCGAACCCCACGAUCUUCCCCCCGACUGAAUCCGGCUAACCGAGCCAAUGAAGAGUGAUUAUAGCGCGUGGAGCAUUUUUUUUUCCUUCGUAGCUUCCCAAGAACUAAUGGGGAAGGCUGCAUGAAUAUAAAUGAGAAGUGGAAUCAUCCAUCCUCAACAAGGUCUGCAACCGCUUUCUUUCUCCCGCCUGGGUCGCUGCCUCCCUUUCUUUUAAUGGCACCAAGUCCGAGAUUCCCCGAUUACGCCAAGGAUUCCGCGCCCGGAUGGAUCCUUGAAAGGAGAGGCAAAGCCAAACCCGUAAACCGGCUUCAAACUUCCUGAAACCCGGGAAAAUGAGCCUGAGCAGGUCAGCACACUUUUCUACGAGGGAAAGGUUUCGGCCAGAUCAGUGGCAUCCGCUGAAAGGGCAGUUGCUAGCCCUCGUCUUCUUCUCAAUCGAAAGAUCGGAAAGCUCGAGAAUGAGAGAGUAUUUCCUAUUUCCUAGCGGAAUGAAGAUUUUCUAUAUGACUGUAGUGAAUAACUAAGAAAAGAUUCCAUGAAGACCAGGGAACCGCGGAGUGGGUCACGGGGCAGAGGCAUAGAGGUUAGAAAGCGCAAGACCAUACCGAAAAGAGACUGCAGGUGAAUCCGUCGGAGGAAGCCAGAUUAAGCAGAUAGGUAGAAGGGAAGGGUCAGAGCGCCGGAAGUCGGAGGAGGAGCUCUCUCUCGCUCUCCUUUCUUUCUUCUUUCAGUAGCCCUCGCUUUUCUUGCCAGCAUGCGGAUUCUUCUUCCUGGCAGCUAUCUCUCUUGCCUCAUCUUUAGCUUAAUUCAAUUAACCUACUAUAUCAAGGAUGAAAAGGCUUAAGGAUUGGAUGUCCCAUCCCAUUCUCUUAAAGACAGUGACUUCCACCCAUGAGAAAAUAGUCCUAAUAGGGGGGACGUCCCUCUUUCAUUAUCAGCUAGGAAGCAUGGCUCUCCUAACUCAAUUCAAUCUUCUUUGAACCUCCCGUACGCCCACUCGACGUCCUCCACCAGGAGCACUAUUAUCAUAAGCAAGAGAGUCCGAGGUCCCUUUCGGCAGUUGCAGCUUGCUUCGGGCUCGCUUUCUUCUUUUUCUCAAAAUUAGUUGAUUGCUAAGGCCUUUCUUCAAAAUUUCCAUGUCCCAAGAAAAAUGUGAAGACGGACGGAGACGUGAUCCCAUUCAAUCCUCGGACAGGAGGAUGGAGUGUGAAACCUCUUUCCUAACCUCGUCCUUUCGCACAAAGGCUUGAAUCCACGUAAAUUGCGAGAAGAGGUGGCCUAUUUCCUUAUUGCCUUUUCUUGUAAUAAAUCGCCAACAAUAUCCCUUAUGGAGCCUACAAUUGAGUGAUUUUUCUAUCUAUUUUCCUUGGUCUAAUCUGAACCUCUUUUAGUAGUUUCGCUCGAGCGUGAACCUCAACCGGCGGACGACCCUCUUUCAUUAUCAGCUAGGGCGAGAGUCCUACUCGAAGUUACUAAGUUACGUGAUAGAACUCAUUUCUUUAAGAGUACAAAUCAGUCUUUAUUAAGAGAAGAUGGGACUUCGACCAGUUAGUUCUCAGCCUUUCCUUUCUAUUUUGGGUCCGAUCUCAAGAUAACUUCCGCCUCUGAUUAAAGGACGAAGUUGUCUUCCUUGUCUAAGUCAUCUCUCAACAAAUCAAUAUCCCCUAUCCAUAGAUCUUUGCGCCUUCUAUAUAUUCUUUGCGCCUCCUUCUCCAUCCCUAUUUCUUUAUUUAUGGAUGUUCAUUGAGGCGUCUUGACCCCUUAUUUAGCAGAUAAAUGCGCUUCGCUGAUGAUCUCAACUUCUAUCACUUUUUUAUGGAUUCCUUGCUUCUAACCAACUCAAGAACAAGAGGUGAAAAGUCGCAUAUUUCAUUGCGCCUCCGGACCGGUCCCUAGGCUUUCUUCUUCUUUUGGAGCCUCAGUCAGACAAAAGAUUACCCGCCCCAAAGUCGAGGCCAAAGGCCCACGUAGCGGUAAUUUGAAUAAGGAAGUUUCAGACCCACUCAAGCGAAACUAGGAAAGAAGCGAUAUGGCCCCUGGUCUUGAGGGCAGGGACUUUUCCUACGAUACCAGGCGAGACUAAGCAGAAAUAGGAAGUGGAAGUCAUUCUUUAUCCAAGCCAACCGCUUUCAAGCCCCUCUCCGCUGGAUCUGUCCUUUGAGACGACUAUGCCCUACUAGUUUACUUAGUCCCUUCCCUUGUGUGCCAUCCGGAACUGCUAUCCCUUAAGGUUUUUAGCUGCUAUCCCGCCUGGGAAUCUACUGCUACCUACUCCAAUAUAAGGCUUGGGUGAAUGAUUGGAUCCCGACAUAAGUACUCUAUCCACUCCUUCUUCUUCUUAGUCUUUGACUUCAGCUUCUUACCUGGAUUCUGCUUAUUCUGCUUCACGAAAAUGAAAGCCCAGUGAGGAAGUACUUGAAAAAUGCAAUUUUCCAGCUCUUAGAAAAGUCAGAAUUCUAAUGUGAACCACUUCCUAAUCUUUGUCUUGAGUUAGUGCUUUUGAGAUUGAUGAAAGGAAAGCUUUUCGGGAGCUAGCAGUCCUUCUUCUUUGCGAAAGAGAGUAGCUCAAGCAAGUCAAUUUCCCUUAAAGAAGAUAAUGAACUAAGAGCUUUUCUGCGCUACAAAGAAGAAAGGAUAGAGAUAGAUAGUUGAAUAAGCUAGACCGCUGCAGGUGCAAAGAAUAUUGCGAAUAAGAAGAUAUUAAGAAGAUCUUCCUUCUGUGACAUUUAGCCCGAAGAAAAUCAGCCUAUUCUAUACCAGCUUCUUCUAUAGAUGAGAUAACUGGAUCAGAUGAAAUAGCAAGGGAUAUGAGCAGCUCAAGCAGCAGAUUCUAUUCUGGGCAUGAAUGUGCAACCUAUCGAAAGAAAGAGUCCUCUACUUCCCACCGUGGCAGCUAAAGUCCUUCUCAAUAUUCUUUGAGCCUCGGUCGAAACUUUCCCCUUUCUUCCUUCAACCACGUAGUGGGGUCGAUCCGAUACCUCCCUGUGGAAAUACAAGGGCGGGCUAGUCUCAUUCCGAAAGAUAGAAGAGAGAUUGCACCCCUUUUGAUUUGAUGAAAUUACAUGCUCUCCGAACUCCUCUCGUGCCUAUCGCUGUCUCUGAAUAAGUAGCCCUGCACCCAUCUUUCCUCCGCACGCACCUGCACCCUACCUCUCUUUACCUCGCCCUGGCUAACUCCUUUCCCAGUCUUCUUUCUAUAUUAUAUAACCUCUUGACUUCCUUCUUUUAUUCAAAUGCAUCCGUUAGUGGGUCAAGCUGCUUUCGCUCCUUCUCCUUACAGUCGGAAAUCUUAGCAAUAUUCUUUGCGCCUCAAAAUCAACUCGGAAAUCUCUCAAAUUGCAUUGAGCCUCAAUUCAAUCUUCUUUGAACCUCGUGCCUCUCUCUUGGACUGGGUUGUGCUAUGGCUUGAAUCUCGCAUAGGGCGAAAUUUGCACAUUCGAACUAAGAUAAGAACAAGGGGUUUGGCUGAAUUCUAAUGGUUCAUUCUCAUUCAUGAAAGAAAGCAAGGGUAAUUAUCCUGAAAAGAAGGAAAAAGGACGCGUAGGAGGAGGCUCCAUAAGACAGGGAUAUUGUAAGCCGAUAUUGCUGUUUUUACCUGAAUUACGAAGUGAAAGAAGCCGAUCUUGCUCUUUUGACCUCAUUUGGCUCUAGGAUAAAAUCACACAAUUACGGAGUGAAAAAAAGAAAGAUUAUACUUGCUUUCUCAAAUUCUUUGAGCAUCGACCGCCUUGAUUUUCUUCUUUUAUGAGGCACAAAAAGAAAGAAUGUCAUCGCAUAUUUCAUUGCACCGCGGAGUGGGUUCCAUUCUUCCCGCUCCCUUCUCGUACGCCUAAGACAAUAUCCAUUCUUCCCGCGUAGUGCUUUCUUUAUUUCUAGUCCUCCGUCCAAACAAACCGAGCACCUUUCGCUCUUUCGCAAUAUUCUUUGCUCCUACCGGUCCUCAGUCCUAUCCAUUAGAGAAUUUGAUGAGGAGGAGAGAAAAUCUUCUUUUCACCUUUCUAGUCGGACUAGAAAUCCAUUAUUUUGCACUUCUUUAUCAAGCUUAAUCUGUGGACUUGAUUUAUGGGGUGAUGAGACAUGCCCUUGUCGAGCUUCGAUAAUUCUUGAGAAUAUGAAUUCACCGCUCCUCUUGAGGCUGAAUGAAUAUGAAUAUGAGAAAGAAUUUGAUGUUUUUCUUUCUCACGCAAUAUGCUUUGCGCCAUCAAAGAAAGGUCCAGGGUCCGGAGUCCGCAGUCCGCAGUCCGGAGUCCGCAGGGCCAAAGAAAGGUCCAGGGUCCUACGUCCGCAGUCCGCAGGAUUUAUCCGUAGGACUAUCCAUAUGGAAGUAGUCCGGAGGAUUUAUCCGUAGGACCAUCCGUAAUUAACAGAAGCAGGCGAUCAGAAUGAUCGGAGUGCAAGUAAAGAAAUCCAUAUUUGUGGAUAAGAGAGGUCCUUCGGACUGGACCCUUUCUAAAUUGAAAAUUCACCAAUGGCGUCAUAAGGUGGUGCAUGGGUUCAUUCUUAGUCAAAGACGGACAACGACACACCAGGACCCAUGGAGGAUGAAAUGAGAGACCGCUAGGGAUGAGGAAUGAACUCGCCGUUUAGGAUGAUGAAUUGAGUUGCUCGACCCGUAGUUUAGCAAUUAGUGGAAUUAACAAGUCCUCCGGUUCCCGCAAUAUUCUUUGCUCCUCACUAUUUAGCGGAAACUGCUUUAUAAGGGAUCAUGACGGAUAUUAUUGGAAUCAGACUCAAGAGGAGCGGUCUCGAAAUAUUCUUUGCACCGCACCGUGGGGGAGGCGCCAUAAGACAGGGAUAUUGUUGACCUCUUAUUUUGAGUUCUUGCUUUCUCUCUAUCUUGAGGCUUCGAACCUUGACGCUUGAUUCUAGUUCACACCGAGUCAACUCUAGCUGCCCGUGAUAGGCAUCCUUCUAAGUCUCAACUUCUUAGUUUAUUCAAUAGAUACCCUCAUUCAGAGGCUUUACGGUCGAGAUCCGAUCCAAGCAAAGAAGGAUUCCUGCUGGGCAGUGGACUUGACUCAAGAGGGAUGGAUGCCGAUUCGAGAAUGCCCUAGCGUGUCUUCCCCGAAAGGCUUUUGAUGCCAUUUCGAAAUGGGCAAGAAGUUUUCUUCUGCAACGAGAGAAGAGAAACUCUCGAUCGGCCGCACUCUGGUCGCGCUUCUCGGGCUGCUAAGGCAUUGAAAGAGACUGAUUUUAUGCGCCUUUCCGGUCUCCGAUCCUGGGACUCGCCUCUCUUUCCUCUCCCUUCCUAUCCCACGGGGUUUGGCACUUUUCUCUGACUCAUUCAAGAGAAAGAGCUCUUCUUUUUCUACUUCCUCUUCUUGCUUAUUAAAUACAUUAUGUCUUUAUUGUACCUUUCUAGUUAGUGAGCUGAGCGGCGCGUAUGAAUAUCAGAGACUGAAGCCGAUCCCUUGUUGAAGAGCAAAGACAGAGCAAGACACCUAGAAGGACCUUGCUGACCCUUGAUCUGCGCCCCCCACUCCGCGGUAAAGCAUCUUCGCACCUCUCACUUACGGGAGAGCAUCUUCGCACCUUGACAUCGAAGAACUCUUGAGAGCUAAGUCCUCUCACUUGAGAAUUCCGGAGUCGAGUUCCUUCGCUUCGGGGAACCCAAGAACCCAACCAAGCAAGGACAAGAGAUCUCAUUCACAGAUACUGGUGCACGAACCCAGUACCCGAAAGGAAGAGCUAACCCAAAGCAAGAAACCUAAGAGGCACCUUGCUCCUUCUUGCUCGUCGUUCUCGGGGAACCCACACCCCCUACCUCUCAUUCUCCUGCUAUGGGGGAAGGACCCAUGCCCCCUGUACCUAAGAGCCUCCUUCUUCCCUCUUCUUGCCAUCUGUUGGACUCAACAACUCUCCUUCUCCUCACCCAAGAACAAUUCAAGGUGCUAGGUGGACCGGACCCUUUCUAUCAUUCCGAAAGCUCCUUUCUUUGCUCAUUUGACCUCUUAUGCCUUCGGGCUGGUACCGAAUUCCCUUGAUGCCUAAUUUCUCUGGCCCUACUUACCACCCUUAUAGCAAGAUAGCUAAUCCAAUCAUGUGAUAAUGGGUGAAUGAAAGCGGGUUUGACUAGUUUGAAUGCUCCAAUCCCAAGUCAAAUGGGAGCAGGUUGGAACCUAGGAGUGGGAUCCACCAUUAGGAAUUCCCAGUUAUCAUGGUUGAGCUAUGAAGUGAAUGGAAUAAAGAGGAACCUACUUACCGAUAGCGAAGCGAAUACUCGUGCAAGCGCAAUCAAUGAAGAAGGGCAGUGGUUUUCUAAAUCAAUGAACGUCCAUAAAUAGGAAGCCUAGGAAGAAAAAGAAGACAAGAGAUCAAUGAACAAGGUUCAAAGAAUAAUAGUAUUCAUGUUUUCAUAGAAAGGAAUAAAAGGAAGAGAACUAGUCCUCCGCGGAGAUAGAGAGAAAGAAGCGUAAUUGAAGGCUGAAAUUUCGUGCAAGUGCAGAGGCAAGGCUCAUUAUCGAAGAAAGCCUAUCCAACUUUCUCUCUUAUGUUUUGAAUUCCACCGCGGGAGUCAGACAGGGAAAAGACAGAGUCAGAGGUCCCAGAUAGGAGCGAAGUAGCUUUACCCAUAUUCAUAAGUUAGAAGCAGCUAUUUUGAAGUUUGAUAGGUAGGAGACAAGAGGGAAAGGCCCACCCAGGAGAGGAGUUCUGAAUAUCGGAUUAUGACUUUCGCAGAGAGAAAGAGGAUUUAUUUAGAAAAGAGCUUCAACCUAUUCUUAGCCCAAGCAAUAGGCGCCGCCAUUCUUUGAAUUAAUUCAUUAAGGAAGAAGAAAUUGAAAAAUCAUAAGUUCAUUCUAGCUCUUUCUGCUGACUUCUUCUGAUUGAGAAAACCCAGGGCAAGCCUUGUAGUCGGCUGGUAAAGGUCUGGCAGAGUAUCAACGGAGAACAAGCUGAAAGAGGAACUUUUCAUUGUGCGGGAAGACGUAUAAUAUGGACUGAAUUCAUAAGCUCGAGUCAGACUUUCAGUGCGAAUUCUCUUUUUUUUCAUGGUUUUGACAUAGCAUAGGCUGAAUGGAAAUUCCUUCUAUCUUGAAAUUCUAUUCUAAGUCGCUUCCCUUCUUCUCUCAACUGCUACAACUCUCCGUCUUCUGAUGUUCCGCUCCGUCGCAAAUUCUUUGGUCCUCCUACGCUUAAGAUGGGACCGGCAAGACCCUGCAAUAUGAAAAGCGCCUGUCUCGCCUCUCCUUUCAGUCGAGAGCCUCCUUCUUCUUCUUUAAAAAGAAGGGUCCAGGUUUCAUAAGACUCCUUCUACGCGGUCUCGCCCAGCUUUUGAAAGAGAAAGGGCGGGCCUCUCGGGAGGAAGCAUAUGGUAAUGGGAAUUCCGCCCACCUACUAUGCCUUCUUCCCUACAAAACGGGGAGGAUAAUUCCACUGAUAGUAAAAGGAUGCCGGAUCGAGCGAGUUAGGGUGGGAAAGAAAUAGGGAUUCUUUGGAAGGAAGAUAGCUCCAGGUAAAGCUACUCAUCAACCUCCUCCUAAACUCAUUUGUACGAGGGGAACCGCGGAGGGAGUGGGCAAAUGCCUUCUUUCUUAGUGAGAAUCUCGUUUUUAGUGAAGCCCAAGGCAGCAUGAUUUCUUCUUUGAACCUCUCUUUGGGCAGAAAGAACUGGCGAGACCAUUUUGAUCCAUUGAAUUGUUGGGGAAGCAGAAAGGUAAAGGUAAGAGUCCGCUCGAUCAAUCCCCACUACGCGGUAAGCUGAAAGAUGCGAUCUGGCCGUCGGCCUAUUUCUUGAUUUCUUUCUUUGACUUUUACGUGGGAUGCAAACUAAACCAUUAGCACAGGCAUUCCAGGCAAUGAUUCGACUUCUUAUCUUGGGGAUUCAACCCCUAUUUAUUUAUGGAUGUUCAUUGAGCGAAGGACUGAUUAAUUCCACUGAUUUCUAACGCAAUAUUCUUUGCUCCUAGCAAAAACUCAAAUUUCAUUCAGCCUUCUGACUGUCCAUAUUAAAUUAAGGAACUGAGUAGGCGGGAGAGAAAGCAAUAGCUCCACCUGUUCGGGAUAGGAAUUCAGGAGAGACCAACUCUCCUCUACUUAAAGUAGCUGCGGCUGUUGAAGGAUCCGUUGAAGCUCUUGAAGCAGAGGUCUUCUUCGACUCCUUCCUUCCUGAAUGAAUGAUAAGGGGCUUCUUUCCUAAUUCAAAGCCUAGGACAAUGAAUGAAUUGCCUUUCCCCUCCCAAUUAAAUUAAUUAACAAAGACUAUAAACAACCUACGGAAAACCAUAGUAUUAAUCAAAGACAAAAAGAAGAAAGCCUAGGAUCAACCCAGAUCCAUUGACAAGAAAGCGCAACUUCGCAAUAUUCUUUGCACCUCCUAACCUAACCAUUAACAACCACUAGAUAAAGACCUCCGGAGCGGUGGAAUAUCGAGGUCCUUUCAGAAAGCCUAAAGAUGAAAUAAAAGGAUAGGCUUUCAGUAUUAUUUUGAGGUUUCAAGUCCCGCAACAAGGCUCCAUAAGACAGGGAUAUUGUAAGGGGUCCAGAUGAGUCAGAAACAUUGAGACCAGGCGCAAAGAAUUUGCGAAGGAACCGAGAAAUGAAAGCGAAAACGAAUAGUCCAAAAACCAAGGCGCAAAGAGCGACGUAGUGCUUUCUUUAUUAAUCCUUCUCCGCCGCAACAAGAGAAGUUCUAGGAUACCGAUAUACCGCAAGAAUGCAAUUCCAUAAACAAGUCGGGAAAUAGAGGGUUGGACUAGCUAGCCGCCCAAUAACUCACAGGUCUUUCUUUCCUUAUUCAUAUCAGAAGCAGAAGAAAGGGAAGAGGAUAAAGUCAUCAAGGAAAAAUCAUGGCAAUAUUCUUUGAACCUCCGGACUAUCCAUAUUAGGCGGACUUCGCCUUAAGACUCCUUGCUAUUGGGUCCGACUAGAAACUGAAAGUAGGAAAGCCUAUCUUUCUCUUUCAGACUCUUUAAAGUCAAGAGGGUAAAGCAUAUUCUAAGCUCUCCCUUUAGCUCUCGCACAAGACCCCUUUAUUUAUGGAUGUUCAUUGAGCCUUGUUCAUUGACUUGAUGCGGUAGGCGAAGAAGCCAUCCAGUAGCAAGCGCUUGAGAAUGAGUCGAAGGCAAAAUCCUUCCGUUUUUGUUUUGAGUAGGCGCUAUCUAAGUCAAUCCGUGCUAAAAGGAAGGAAUAGAAAAGGAAGCCUUGGGCAUAAUAGUCAGAGAGAGUAAGGGAAGUCCUGCUUUCAAGUGCUUUAUCGUAAGGGUCUGAAUAGGGUCCACCAGUAGCUGCUCUUAGUAAGACCAGUCACAGGGAUAUAUCGCUCAAAAUUCAAUAUCAAAGAGAUUGCAUUGAUACUUAGACUGAUAGCGAGCCGGAAGAGCAAAGUGAUGAAUCAGUCGAGACAGUCUUAGCUAUAAUCUCUGCCCUUACCGUGGAGUGGGUAUCUUUUCUCGUCUGAAAAGAGAAUAGUCUUCCUCUCUUUGUGAAUUUGCAGGUUUGAGAUUAGAAUGCCAUACUCACCCUGCAACUUACAGAAUCCGCAGCGAAAGAAAAGAUUCAAUCUUAUUCGUAAUGCUGGCUAAGAGAUUUUCGAUUCAGGGCGGGAUGGGACUGUAAAAUGGGUGAGGUAGGGUCUAAUCUUCGCUCUACGAGAGAAAGCUGAAAGGCCCGCUAAAAGUUGGAGAAGGAGCGAAAGAUAUCACGAAAUACCUUGAUCAAAGAGCAGACCCAAGGAAGGGAGUGCUUCGAUUCCCUUUAGCUCUUAGCUCUACGGAUGACUAAGAAGGCAGGAUCAAAGCGGGUGAGAGCAGGAGCACUGCUCGUCCUGGCAUAGCCGUAUGAUUUCGUCACAGAUUGUAUUCUCUCAUCCCGGCUUGUAAUGGCGAAAGCUAGAUUUCAUGGACCAGGUUGCCCUUUUUAUUCUUUCAAAGACUAUUACAAAGAUUACUCUCCGUCGCACUCACGGUCAUUAGUCUGGUUAGCUCUUCCUGAUAGGUUGAAAAGGAUGAAAGCCUUCUGACUUUCCUGACCCAUAGUCAGAUUUUUCAUACUCUGGAAAUCAGAUAAAAAGGUGAAAAGAAUAUUGACGGUUGGGUUCCUGGACAAAAAGGAUGAAAGUCGAGAAUUUCUUGGGUCCAUGUGAGCUAAGAGGUUUCUGAUGAGUGGUAGAGCAGUUGAUCUAAGCCUCAGUGCGGAUGAUGAAUUCUCUGACACAUGGCCAUCUUCCCUCUUAUUAAAAAGAAAAAGCCUACUUUGCUUUUCGGGUAUUGAGCUCACUGGGAAGCCUUCGCUUGAACCCUCAUUGCUACCGUCCUUUGACUUCACGGAAGAUUUGGUAUCCAACCUCUACCUUUUUUGGUUGGCAUUCCCAUUAUUCUUUCUACUCGUCUUCUUGGACUGGACUUCGGUGACGAAGGGAUCGAAGAUUUGGAUGAUCCAAGGUCGCGGCCUCCCAAGUUCUGCUGAUUGCCUGAUAUGGCUAAAUUCGAUGGUUCUGGAGAUCCCAAAGCCCCUAUAUUUCAGAAUAUCUUCUUGCGAUGAAGACCACUACUCUCAUCACGAAGGAGCGCAUUUCCUUCUUUGCUCUCUUUUUGGAAGGAGGAGCAAUGCGGUGGUACUAUAGCUUGGAUGCCAAGAUAGAGGUGGGGCGAGAUGGCCGAAAUCCGGAGCAAUUUGGAUACAAUGUCCAGCUUGAUCUUACUUUGCCUGAACACUACCAGGCGGCUCCCAAAGAUCUUCUUCAUUCAUUUCCAGAUGGAGUGGACCUCUUGCAAGCCUUCGCAAGCCUGCGCAGGGUAUCCCUAUUAUAGUGGGACAAGCCAGGUUCCUUCGUCAGUAAGGAAGAGACCGAGCCGUAGUAUAGUCCUUGAUGUGGUAAAUCUUCCUAGCCCCGGUAUUACGCAAAAUGUAGGAGUAUCCUAGCUUGCAGAAGAAGAAAAGAAAGAAGAUCUAGCCCAUAGUAAUCUAAUAGGAUUUACUCAUCAUAAAAAGGAAAGAAAGAUUUCCUUAAUCUAUUGAUAUUAGAAUAUUGAAGGGAUUUAUCCCCAAGAAUAUCCCGUCCUUCGGACAGACGGGUUAAUAUGGAUAGUCCUUCGGACUGGCACAAAAGUCAAUCAAAGAAAAUCAGAAUGAACUCAUUAACGAGAAUGAAAGAAUCAUUAAGAAAUGAAAGAAGAAUUAUGAAUCUGCUAGAUUUCAGACUAGUCCUUCGCGGAGUGAAAUCCCGGAAAAUGCUAGGUUUUGCCCAUAGGGAAGUAGCAAGAAAUCAAGUCAAAUGCCUUCUUUUUCACUCAAUUAUCGUUAUUUAUCAAUAUGAGAAAAAGUCCUAUUUAGAAGCAAAAAAGCCGGGAAAUAGCAAGGCAUUGUCCUAUUUGAUUUUCGAAAUUCACAUAGUUUGAUUCUUGUUUGAGUUUAUGGUCCGGAGAAUUACGGGUCUAUUCUUGAUUCCGCUCCUGAAUAUGGAUAGUCCUCCUUCCUUCCAUAUGGAUGGUCCUACUUCGGUUAAUUACGGAUGGUCCUACGGAUAAAUCCUCCGGACUACUUCCCUCCAUAUGGAUGGUCCUACGGAUAAAUCCUCCGGACUACGGAUAAAUCCUGCGGACUCCGGACUCCGGACUACUUCUGUUAAUUACGGAUGGUCCUACGGAUAAAUCACCUGGACCUUUCUUUGGCCCUGCGGACGUAGGACCCUGGACCUUUCUUUGAUGGACUUCUUUAUCCAUUAGUCGUUAGGCGCAAAGAAUUUGCGAAAGAAGGUGAAAAGAAUAUUUCAUGAGUGCAAGGCUGAAACAUUAGAUACCGGAAGCCUACGGCUGGGUCAAGACGAUCCAUAAGACAGGGAUAUUGUAAGGCGCAAUUCAAUAUGCGAGGUCAAAUCAAUCAUUUUCAAGGUAGAAAGAAAAGCCCACCUAGCGGUCUAGAGGUAGAGGAGCCGGUCUAGGCUGGAGCUCAUCAGUAGUAAGAGGAGAGUCAUCAGUCGAUGUUUCAGAAGUAGCGGAAGUAGCCCUUCCUUGGUCUUGCCGCAAACAAAUAAAGUGGGUUUUUUCCUAUCCCCUCUUUUUUUGAAGGAGGAGAAGGGCUUGAAAGAGUUCACGAGGGGAAGGAGUAGUGGCUCGACCUCUUCUCUAAUAGAAAGAAGUGGAAAAGCAGAAGAGGAAGUACGAAAAGAAUAAGCCGGAUAACCAGAUACCGGGGGAAGAGAAUGCGAGUAGGUUCUCAUCAGUCUUUUUAUUAUCCGUAGUUUUGAAGAUGAAAAGAAGAAAGAGUGCGGUUCGGGUAGGAGCUGCUUCUUAGUCAAGCAAUUCCAGGGGUUUCGUUUACUCUAUAGGCCUAGCUUACUAAUCUAACUUCAUUCCCGAGGGCUGGCCGAGAGAGAGCAUUAGGAAUGGGAGAUUCUACCGCGGGGGGCCGUAGCAUCACUCCUUACUCCUUAAGAGCCGCGUAGUGGGCAUCAUUUCUUAACAAGAAGAAAGCGCAAAGAAUAUUGCGGAAAAGGAGAGGUUCAAAGAAGAUUUCCGCUUGAUCCAUAAAAUAGAGAAAGGCUUUAGUUUACUUGAGGCAGAUUUGCUUAGCUCUUCGUAGGACCCCACGGAGCGGAGAGGGAUGAAAUAGCGAGACCAAUCCAUAAAAUCAGAGGAAGAGCGACCAAGAGGACGAAAUGCAGCUCGACUUCCAGAGGCAUGAGACCUUUUUCCUGUUAAGUCAAAGUCGGGUGCGGGUUCCUUUUCUAGCCAGCCCGCCAACGGAUGGAAGUUGAGUUGCUAUCAUGACUUCCUUCUUCUUCUUUCUGGGAGUCCUCCGGACCGGUUCUUUCCUCAAAUCAGAGUUCAAAGGGCAACUGCAUUCCUUUUCCUCGUUCACUCGGUCUAUAGAAAUAGUUCAUGGCUAGGGCUACUAGUCGUCAUACUUCUUCUUUGAGAAAGAGAUGGAACUCGUUCUCAUUGUUCAUAUUGCCGCUAUAUGAGUGAAUUCACGAGAUUCAUAAGAAAAUAAUCGCUUUGCAACACAACAAGAGCGACAGCCUCAACCGGAACAAGGGCCUCAAUGAACAAGGGGUUAGGGAUUGAAUCCGAUCUAUCCUAUCAGAAAGAAAAAUCAGAAUAAUUCAUCGCUUAGCUACUCCAAGACCAAGCACUUCCUCAACAGCUAAAUGCCACUGCUGGUCGAACUGCCGGUUCUGGGUCUCGUCUUUGGUACUGGGCGAGCAGAUAUAUACCUGGGAGGGAUUCGGCAGAAUCAAGCAGUUUGCCUUCGGCCGAUCCUGAAGAGGUAGGGAAUUUGGGGUAAGCAAAUGCAAACUCUUUCCAUCCGUGAAUGAAUAAAGCCGUCUUCAAUGGAUGUUUUUGUACGCUUGUACGCUUUGAUGCUACUGAAUUUAUAUCAAAGCACAAAACAGGGCUCAAAUAACCCUAAGAACUUGCCAAGUUCCCACUUCCAUCCUAGUUUGGAUUGGGUUUUAUGCUACUGAAUUUAUGCAAAAACAAGGUAUUUCGAUUGUUUUCUUGCAUCCGGCCUAUAGCUCAAAGUGACUAAAUUGGCAUCCUUCGAGUAUCGUUCUUAAUAGUUUCGUCAGUCAUAAAAAACCGUGGGAACUAAUGGCCCCACUCCGCGGUGAGAACUUGCGAUGCAAACCAUGGAAGAUGCAAAUCGGUAAAGGAAUGAACCCAUUGACUCAAGCGCAAGAACUGGUAGAGACAGCAGUCCCCAACCGUGGAGGAAGGAAGUCGAGACUCCUAUACAUGAAUUUCAGGCGGAAGACAGAGCGGUUCAAACUUGCAGAGAGAGCGCAGAGUUUUUGAAUAGUCGAGUAAAUCAUAAGGCUUCUUCCCUGUCCGACCCGGAUCCUUCUCAUUCCCUUGCUCGAGAGAGAGAUUCCGCCGAGACUUUUCUACUACUUCUCUGAUAAUGACCGGGCCGCUGCCUCUUGGGAGAGCUGCUUUAGCGUUGAGACCCCUUUUUGUACUUAUUCCUCGGGUAAGCCGUUGAGACCCAAGUCCUACGGGAUUCUGGAGACCGAAUUUCAUAGAAUUCCGCCGACCCCACUAAUUCAGAGACAGCUUCUGAUCCCUUCUAGCCGAUACCGAGACAGAGACUGAUUUCUUCUUGUCUAGCUGCCGAAAGAUAAUAGUAAUAGUACUUCUCCUCUUCCGUAGGUCUCUCCGCAAAUUCUUUGCUCCUCUGACGGGGACUGAUGCGGAUACAGUCUAUUCACACCGCGAGUAAACUCCAACUAAGCAGCAAAGACGACUUCUUUAGCGGUUUCAAGUCGUCCACUCAACAAGGGUCGAGCGAGUCCCACUAAGAUCCUGCCUUUAGGUAGAGCGGCUUCUUUCACUCCGUAAUUCAGCCGAUCUUGCUGUUUUGACCUCAUUUGGCUCUAGGAUAAAAUCACACAAUUACGGAGUUCAAGUCCCCGCUCGGCCUCUAACUGGUAUGAGAUAAUAUAAUACCGACUGAAGACCCUCUUCUGAUAGCUUGAGGUCUAACCUAUCCUUCUAGGUCUCGCUUACUCAUGCAUUCUCAUACCGGGAAAAAGACCAAGUCUUCGAGGUUCCUCCUCGGAACCAUCUCCUAACCCUCCCACGGGGCGGUCGAGCCUAAUCUAGCCUACGAUGGAUGAGGGGAGAUUUCCUCUUCUUCUCCGGAACUCCAAGAGAGUAGCUUCCCCGCCGCAAGAGAUAAUUCAAGGGAUAAGGUCCGAGCCUUUUCCAGGCUGAUUUUCGGGAAGAGAUUCUUUCUCCAACCUAGCCUUUAAAGUUCUAGGUCUUACCCCUACGUGGGCCUUGUUCAUAGAAUGAAAUACCGGAGAACUCCUAAUCCACUCUACUAGGUCACAUCCAUCCGCGCCCUUGGAUCUGAGAACUUCUCCUUCAAGUUACCUUGCCGACUCCCCUACUUCAGGUUCAGGGGACCCUACUCUGACUUCUUAGUUCUCGCUUGAAGUGAGCACUUCUUCUUUCUCUGGAAGUUACCUGUGGCCGGUCAAUCCGGUAUCCCUUUCAGUUAGUCAUUCAAGGGGAAGGGAUUUCACUCUACGGGAUAGACUUCUUCGUCUAACUCUAGCUGAGGCUUCUCGGGCGGGCUAAGAGGGAAUUCCGCUUCCUUUUCUUUCUUCUUCCCUUGCCGGUGCUUUCGGAAACUUAGAAUAAGCGAAUGAAAAAAGGUCGGCGACCACCCUACUAAUUCUGGUCUCGGCCUCGGGAUAGACUUCCAAAGAGAAAGAGAGAGGGAUGAAAGAGGUUAUGCACGGCGUCCAAUGGGAUAGUUUGACGGGAGAUCCUAUGAGACCCUUCCAGGUGGGGAUCCCUCUGCCUCUGAUGAAUCAGACUCCGCCUGCUCCGGUACCGCACCCCUCCUGCUCCGUGGGCAUUGACUCUUAGGCGAAGGACUGAUUUAUCAAGCUUAGUCUCCUUUCGUACUCUGACUCUUGGGAGAGCUUAUUUACGGGAGGAGAUCUGUAACUCCAACAAGUCAAUGAUUAGGGGAGCUUUCUCUUUCUUCUGAAACCCCUUGUUCAUUCAGGCUAGGCUUUCUCUUCAAAGUCAGAGCUAUCCAAAAUCUCAUAUUUCAUUGACCCGCAAAGAAUAUUGCGAGAAGAAGGCUGAAUUCCAUUUUCGAGUAGCCUUAGGCUCAAUGCAAUUUGAGUUGCGAAAGCUGCUCAAACUUGUGGUAAAGGGUAGAUUCUACGCAUAUUGAAUUGCGCCUCAUCUAGAGCUUUUUUUUGUUUUCGGAGCUUCUUUACCGAAGGCGUCACAGGUCCGAAGGACUAUCCAUAUUAACCUGCGACUGAGGACCUGUCUCGCAAUAUCCUUUGCUUUGCGCCUUAUCCAUAGAUCUUUGCGCCUCUCGCUUCGCGCCUAGAGAAAGAAACUGCCGAUUUCCUUCCGACCACGCGUCCUCCUUCUGACCGUCAAAGCUUAGUGAUUUACUUAGGCCUUUCCCGCUACGUGGGCCGAUGCGCUGGUGGGGACGGACGUCUAUGAUCAUCCUCUUCUUUAUUGCUUUCUGCCUCAGAAAGGUGCGGAUUCAGUCCCUUGACCCGAGUCCGAGUCGAGCAGCCGAUCCAUGGUUGGGGAGUUUGAAUGCUGGGGCACGUGCAAUCACUUUUCUUUCAACUUAAGGAAAUUGUCCUCUUCUCGAGCCUAACCUAGGAGUGGGGCCUAAUUAGUCGAUUUGACUCUUGGGAUGAUUCCACGUGAUCGGAUAGUCAAAUACCGGGUUUGAAUGUGAUUCGAAUGAAAGCAAGGGUCGAAGCGCGAACAAUGAUAGAUAGGAGGAUCGCUUCGGGUUAGGGGGCAGGGAGAGAGGGUAUUUGCCCGAUAUGAGCAAGACCUAUUAAGGAAUCCGCAUAUCUUAAGCAAAUGCUCACAUCGAUUUAUGCGAGGCGCGAAGCCUUCACCUUUUCCCAGCUUCGAUUCCUUACCUCGCCUAUUUUUUGGAAUCUUUGCUCCGAAGGCUCUCAGAAAUUGAGUUCUGUCCGUAGGCUGAUUAUUUCAGACUGAAGCUCUCAGAAAUUGAGUUGCCGUAGUAGGGUUGAAGACUCCGUCCUUUCUAUCUCCUUCUACUCAGUCGACUGAAUAUUCAUUGACCCUCUUAUCGACUACCUCUCUCCUCUCACAAGAUCCAGUCAAUUAAUUACAUACAAGAGACCGCGUAGUGGGCCAUAGAUCUUUGCACCGCUCCGUGGUCCUCCGGACUAUCCAUUAGAUGGAAGGUGGGCUUUCUUCUUCUUCCGAAAGAUUAUUUAAAAGGAUAUGAAGAGUCAGUGGGAGGGGGCUCUUUGCACUCCGAAAAAGUGCUCGUAAAAGAUAUUCAAUAUAAGUAGUAAUUCAAGCUCUUCUUCUUUAUUAAUUCAAGAUUCUUUCUCUGCUCAAGUAAGGAAAAGAUAUUGAUUACUAUCUCUCUAUCUCUCUUAUAAUAGAGACCGAAAGAAAGGGGAAAGAGAUGGUACCCGCCAUUUUCCCGUGGGUAUAUUGAAUGAAAGUGCCUCUCGUUAUAAAGCUAGAGGGUCGCGCGGUCCAUUCCCAUCAUGGGAGUCACGGCAGUCUUGGGUCACCUUUCGGCUGGGGGUCCAUUUGUGCCUAUCUGAGGCGGAAAAAUCCCUGUGGGGGAAAUUUGCACUCGGUGAAGGAAGGCCGGCUGCACUCGUGAAAAAAAGGAGUCUUUACAGGGCGGCCCCACAGCGGCCUACUUAUCAAAAGGCUCCGAGAGCACGAUGAGUGGCUCGAUGUCGGAUCCCAUGCUUCAAAGUGCAGUAGUGCUAAGGUAUCCUAGGAUGCGGCAAAUAUGGGAAGAUUCCCACUGCGAGAGAAAAGGCUUGGGGAGCGAAUCGCAGGCUAUCUUUGGUGGCCGGACCCCUAUAAAUGUUCGGAACUUGGGGAUAAGUAUUUCCUCCUCGAUUGGGUGGCCUUAGUCUGCCACAGGCCGGUCAAGACUAGGCAACUCUUGAUCCCAAGUACUCAAAAAACCCUCUUCCUUACUAGACUUUCAAGGGUACUACAAGUAUACAGGGGAAGGAGCAAUAUUCCGGAUGACUGAUAUGAUCUAUGGGCGAUAGAUGAAUUUAGAGAGUCAGACGGCGAAUGGGGUUCUCAGCCUGGAGGAUAUUUGGCCCAAAUGUCAAAUUUUCUCUUUUCUCAGAAAGGAAAUGUGCCUAUUAUCUUUUUUGGGAAUGAGCUCCCACGGAUCUUUAAGGAAAGGGGACCGUAGGCCGAAAGAAGAAUCCCCUUACAUUUUCUAUCGCAAUCUUCGAAGCUCGGCUGAUCUCGACGUUUUGGAAGUGUUUAGAAAUCCGGGCGGGCACCCAGGACCAGAUUGGCAACCCCCCCAUUUUAUACAUUACGCCUUCAUUCAUUCUUUAGAAAGAAAAAAAAGACAUAGUCAUAGAGCGGUAUAUCUCUGUCGGGCUUCUACAAAUAUUGGGGAAGGAAUACCUUCUUUUCUUCCAUUAGGAAAGAGAAGAAAGACAAGAAGACGGACAAACUUAUAUGGCACAUUAACCAGAAUAAGUUGGGAGAAGGCGGGAUGAACCUUCUCAACUUUGCCUUAGUCCCUAUCCCGGGUAAAGAAAGAGGUGGAAUAAUCUGAUUUCAAAAAAGAAGGUAAUCUUCAUAGACACUGGAACCCAGUGCAGCCUUGACUACAUACAAUGGCCAUAUUUCAAGGUACGGGCUUAGGGGCGAUUCCUGAAAUUUCAAUGUCAAAAUCCUAUAAAUGAGAUAUUUACGAUGAGGAGAACAGUCCCCGCCCUACCUACUAAAAGGGUUUAGAGAACCUUUCAUUUCAAGUCAGAAGAGCGAUCAGGGAGACCACGAUGAAGGAAGCCACAUACUUGUCGGGGGUCCAGCACUGGACUCAACUUUCUUUUCUUUUUGCUUCAGAGCAUUUGACGUCAGGUUGCUCGGCUCUCUACAAGAGAGCCUUUCCUCAGAUUCAAAGAUUUAGAAGAGAAAGAGCGGAUAAAAGGGGGUGGGGCUGAAGUUUCUUUAGUUGUGGAAGCCUAAGCCAGAAUGAAUUACAUAAGAAAGGAAGACAGCCUCAUCGGUCGUAUUCAUACCGAGUCAAUAAGCUUUACGCUCAAUGAGAUCUCUUCAUCUUCGGUUUGUUCCGGGAUCUCUAAAAAAGAGAGUAGGCUUCUGCCUCUGGGCGAAAUUUUGGAGUCUCGUCUUUGGUAAAAAGCUUAGUGAAACUUCCGACUCUCGAUCUCCCGUCCACGGAAAAUCUGUGACUGACUCAACUCUGAAUCACUAUCCUUCAUUCUUAGGAGUGCAAUGAACCCACUCCGCGGUUUCCCAGUGGGUCCUACUUCGGUGUCCUACUUCCGGAUGGUCCUACUUCGGUUAAUUACGGAUGGUCCUACUUCGGUUAAUUACGGAUGGUCCUACUUCCAUAUGGAUAGUCCUACUUCCUUCCAUAUGGAUGGUCCUACGGAUAAAUCCUCCGGACGUAGGAUAAAUCCUGCGGACUCCGGACCCUGGACCUUUCUUUCUUUAAUGGAUAGUCCUACGGAUAAAUCCUCCGGACUCCGGACGUAGGAUAAAUCCUGCGGACUGCGGACCUGUCCAAAACUUUCUUUCUUGACCUCGCAAUAUUCUUUGCACCUCCGGCUCAAUUUCAUCUCUAAGCUCCGUGGGAACUGAAAAAUGGAGUUGGCUUUUAUGUGAUCAUGCAUUUUCUGAAUGAAGGAUUGAUAGUUUUUUCUUGGUUUAGGUGACUCAAUUGAAUCUCGCCUUCUACGCCGGCUGGGUCGGAAUCUGAAUAUGUGGAUGAAAGACGGAGGAUCGGAAGACUCGCUGCCUUUCUGCCUUCUUGCCUCAUCCCGGGUAGGGCAUUUCUAGGGGGCAAGCUGAAAAUUGAGAUGUGGAUCCUUCAAAGUAGGCGUUAAAGAUGAACCGACGCAAUAUUCUUUGCGCCAUUAAUUCCAUUGAAUUUGAACUAAAUAAGAAGAACGAAUCUUGCAUUGAGCCUUUGUUUUUGCUGCAACAUCAACGGAUUCAGCCACUUUCAACCUCAAAAUAAUACUGAAAGAGCCAAGUCUGAAGUACGGAUUUACGAAGGAAGGGGAUUAGAUUGUUCUAACCGCCUGUCUGACGCUUGAAAUUUCUCUCUUUUUUUGGGGGUACCCGAAAGGCGUCCUCAGUCAGAUGCCACUUUUCUUGAAUAAAGCGAUAGCCGAGAGAGUCGACUUCCCUCGUUCUAAGAUUACUUAAGGCUUCCUUCAAUCCAUUCGAUAGCCUCUUGUCUUCUUACCGCUACGUGGGGAAAGCGAAAGACAUAGGCUUGAAAGAAAGAAAAGUUCAGACCUUUCCAUGGCAGUCUUAAAUAGAGCAGAGUCAGAGGCAAAAGGAUUUGACGCAAGUUGAAGCUAAGGAUCGACAGAAAGCUAGGUGUCCUUCUCCCUUCUUAUCCUAAGGAACUCGCAGAGUUAACGAGAUCUCGCAGAUAUAUAGCCAAGUGAUUCACCACGCCAAUAGGUGGGUUUUGAUAGUCAGUCAGAAAUUCAGAUAGAAGGCACCGCUGGAACUUGUGCAUGCUUAUACUAGGGAAAGAGCUCUUCAAUUCAUUCCCCGCUCUCCUGAGGUCGUGACAAGGUUCAAAGAAGAUUGAAGUAGUGGGCUGCGCUUUGGGGCUUUUGGCUAUGCGUAGAUAUUCUGGUAAGACCAAUAUAGUACGGAAGCAUCUCGGAUGAAGAAGAGGUGCAAAGAAUAUUGCGUUGAGGACUCGGAAUGAAUAAAAAGAAUGCCUGUUGAAUGAUCAGUUUCUCUUGAAUAAGCUAGAUCUCUUGUUCCAUUUCAUCAACAAUCGUAAGCGAAAAGAUUAUAUAGAUAGGAGUAGGAGCAAUCUGGGGAUUCAAAGAGGCAGGUCGCAGAAGAGAAGAAAGCCUAGGGCUCUCAAAUAGAGAAAAAAGGUAAAUAGAGGCCAAUAGGCUUACGACGACGCGACUUCUCUUUCUGAAACUUGAUGGAAGGACUGACGGCUUUCCUCUUACUAUUACGUCUUAGGCCCACGUAGCGGUAGGCUUUCGCAGCUGCCGAAACCUCUAAGUCUGAUCCUUACCCCUUUGACUUCUGAAUUACCGCGAGUACUCUUUAUGGAGUCUUUUCCCUUUUCUUGGUCGUAUGAGUCCUUCGUCUUGGAUCUGGCGGGAAAGCCUCAUUCAUUGAUCUAUUUCUUAGAAAGAAUAGCUUAUUCUUAAGAAAGCGGACGGACUCAGCCUUUUCUUCUCAUGCCCUUCUUUAUGCCUCUUCCUUCGAUCUCCGGCGUGCGGGUCGAGCGCGUCAAUAUUCUUUUCACCUCUUUUCCUUGCGAGUUUGUCCAGUUAGUUCGGGAACCUAGGCUUUCUUCUUCUUUCCCAUGAGAACUUCCUAGUGAAUCUCGUAUUAAUCAGCAUCAAAAUCUCAAUCGCAUAUUUCAUUCCGCCUCCAACACGCUCUUUGCUUUGAGCAAUAUGCGCCUCCGGCUUAAAUAAGCGAGUCAUGAUUCCGCUAAAGUUUCAGACCUUAGGCUCCAUAAGACAGGUCCGAAGGACUAUCCAUAUUAACCCAGAUUUCGAGACCGCUCCUCUUGAGUCUGAUUCCAAUAAUAUCCGUCAUGAUCCCUUAUAAAGCAGUUUCAGACCUUAGGAGCUAUUCCAAAAACGAGCUCUUAAAUCCCCACGGUGCGGUAGUUUAAUCUUUCAGCCUUGCACUCCUUUCUUCUUUUCCGAAAUAUUCUUUCGCCUGAAUCCAUAAAUAAAUAGAUAGAAGUCGGGGCUCCAAUCAAGGCGGUCGAUGAUUCGGCGUAAAAGUUGUUUUCAUCGCUUUAAGAACAAAAAAGACAGUCUUAGCCGCCAUUCGAAGGAUCGGAUAGAAGCUGCUCUCUUUCUUUAUUCCUUGUUCAUAUCCUCUUAUUAGUUACGGGUUACGAAGGAGAGGGGUUUUAGGGGUUUAUGGACUUGACACAGAGUCAUCCCUCUCUCUAAGUAUUAAUUAGUCUAAGUCGGUGCUAUCCCAUUCAGAUAGGGAUCCCUUUAUCCCCAGACAAAUCUGGCUCGGAACAGUAAUAAGUAUCAGUAGCCACAGAAAAGGGGGAAGACUUGGAACUUCAAGCAGAAUCCGGAAAAAUAAUGGAUUUCUAGUCCUUCGCCUAAUGAAUAUGGGGAUCUGGACGGCGGAGCAAAGAAUAUUGCCUUCCACUUUGAGAGGUUAUGCUAGAUUAUAUAUAUAGUAAAUAGGUGGUUAGAGAAUGAGUCAGACGAAGGAUCCACGUAGAAGCCGCUAUCCCGACGGUCUGUCUUGAUCAGGUGCGGAUGCUACGGAGCGGCCAAAGACUGGAAAGGAGAGGGGCGAAGCGAAUGGAAGAUCAAUCCUCGGUUCCUAGAAAAAGAAAGCGGAAAACGCAAGUCAAAUUCUCUAAUGGAUAGGCCUUCUCGCAAUAUUCUGCGCAUCUGCGUCCUUCUUUUUCGCAUAUUUCAUUGCGCUGUCAAAAUGAAAUUAAUGGAAUAACUUCGCCUAAACUUGAAAGAAAGGUCCAAAGCCCUUCGUUAAUUACGGAUAGUCCUACUUCCUUCCCUCCAUAUGGAUGGUCCUACUUCGGUUAAUUACGGAUGGUCCUACGGAUAAAUCCUCCGGACUACUUCCCUCCAUAUGGAUGGUCCUACGGAUAAAUCCUCCGGACUACGGAUAAAUCCUGCGGACGUAGGACUCCGGACUACUUCCAUAUGGAUAGUCCUACGGAUAAAUCCUGCGGACGUAGGACUCCGGACUGGAUCUUGUUGGGCGAAACUGCUCAAGAAAUCAGAAUCUAUGAACAUAGGCUUUCUCUUUUCAUUGACUUAUGUCUCUUCCGAGACUGAGUCCUCUGACUUUCUCGCUGCCGAUGCAUGCCUCUUCUCUUGUCGACUUUGUCCUGAUUGUAGUACGCGCCUUCUCCUUGGAUACCGCCGCUACGUGGGCCUCAUCCUAUGGUUCGUGGGAUAGGGCUUUCAGUCUUCCUUGUCGAGCCGGUUCGGCGCCGCAGCACCUUUGCAGUGGAGAAAGAUUACUCUGGAUGUGCCAAUAAGACUAACGGAUGUUUCCUAGCCCGAGUCAACGUCAAUAUUCUUUUCACCUUCCUCAACUUCCCUUUCCGCCUCCCGUUCUUUCAGUUACGGGGAUUCAGGUCAAUGCCUUUCUAAAUCUACAUUAUUCAAAAAUCAUAAAUAGCUUGACUCAACGACAAGAACUGAAAGAGCUACCGGAACUGCUGCCCUUGAACCUCGAGCCUUUGCCUAGGCCUCUGCUGAACUCUACUUCUUGACUUUUGACUCAUACGAGUGGAUACUUCCCUCUCUACACAAAAGUCCUCAAUUGAAUCGAGACCGAAAGGGUUGAGUUUGGGGGUGGGGAUGAUUUGAGAAGAAAACUUCCGACUCCCUUCCACCUACCUUCCCACUUGCGAUGAAAAGAAGGAGGAAAAGGAAAGCAAGGAUGCUCGAGGGCCUAAUUCUUCUUCUUUUUUCUCUGAUCCAGAGCAGUGGUCUUAAGCAUAUAAGUCCAAAAAGUGCAUCUCAUGCGAAUAAAGAAAUAAACGAAAGAAAUGGAAGAAGGCCUUGGUGAUAAAGCUAUCUCGUCCCUCACCGCUACGUGGGCUCCAAGGUUUAUCCUUUUCUUAAGGAAUAUAUUCUCAUAAAAGAAGGGUGCGUCGGUUUAGCUUUAGCUAGGAGUCCCGCCUAGCUUCCGAACUUGCCAAGAAUUCGCGAUUGAAUAUUUUUUUCCGCUUCCUCGACGGGACCAUCGGGUCUCCAAACUGAGAACGACCAGCUUACUUGAAUGAAGAAAGAGAUAUCUCUCUUGUCCCACUUGGAUUUUUUUUCACAGCUAGAUAGAGUGAUAUUCACAGGAAAAGAUGUCUAAGCUCUAUUUGGACCGGGUCUCACCUCUGUCCAGGGCUUGACUAAAGAGUACUGGAUAUAUAGAUCUACUUUUAGUUGUGAAAGAAAGGAAUAAUAGGAUCCAUUCUCUAUUAAUAUCCAUUUAGUUGGUUCAACUCCUGCUUCAACUGCUAUUGACCCAUUCCCAAGUCAAAUAUGGUCAAAAAUGCUAAUCUGCCCAAUUAUUUGAGAUAUGCUUAAGAUAUCCGAAAUUCUUCAGUGCUAGCCCUGCUCAAUUCCUAAGAACCGAAAGUUUGCGGGAGGUGGCUCAGCCCGCUCCUUCUUCCUCACCGCUACGUGGGCGGGACCGGCCAUCACAGGGGACGUGAGAGAGGAAAGAAGAAGGCAAUAAGCGAUCUUUAGUUCUUUUUUUCAUGGUAUCUGCCUAGGGAUCAAGGAGGCUUGACUUGGCUAGGGACGAGAAUAAUAUAAGACCUCUGCGCUGCCCUUUCCGGCCAAUGCCCAAUACCGAGUUAUGGCUUUGCCUUGAGGUAUCCUCCCAUCUCCGUAUCGUGAGAAUGUCCUUGAGACUGUGGAAAGCAAUUCCUUCCUUUUUUUUCUCUUUAGCUUUUUUCAAUAUUCUUUGAACCUAGGUCACUUUAGUAGUUCUAGCUGCUGACCCGAAGGACAGCUUUCCACAAUUCCUUAUUUAUACUUCGUUGACCGGUCCGCUCCGUCGCAAGUCAAAUUCUCUAAUGGAUAGGCCUUGCUCCUUCGAAUAUGAAUUCAGCUUUUUUAAGCGGCUGCAAUCAGUCUGAAUUUCUGAUCAUGAAUCUUCAACCUUGUUUUUGAAUUGAGCUUUUUUAAGCGGCUGCAAUAUAGCUUUCAUAAGCCUAGGACGCAAUAUUCUUUGCGCCUCCGGACGGGUUCCCCGCAUAUUUCAUUCCGCCUUCGGACCUGUCCUCCGGACUAUCCAUAUUUAUUAACCCGAGCCUUUUUCCAUUGAAUUUCUGAUUUCAGAGGACUUCUAAUCAAUGAACAUCCAUAAAUAAAUAGGGGUCUUUCAAUUGCUUUUUGAUUCUGUGCGCGCUAAGAUUUGAGUCUUGAAAGUGGUGAAGCGAGGGACUGGUCUUUGCCCCUAAUCAAGGAUUUCUUCCUCUUCUUGACUGCCUUUGCCACAUUCUCCUACUCAGGUCUAGCUCUCACCUGUGCAAGCAUCAGAAGAUGGAUUCUCGCGAUCUACAGAGUCCUUAUGGCUUGCUUUUUUAGUCGGCCUCAGUAGCUUAAUAUGGAUAGGUUGAAUAGUCCGGAGAAAUAAUAGUACUUUGUCUUUGUCUUAAUCUGUGGAUAAAAAAGGUCAUCUGGACCUUUGUUUUUGGGUGAAAGAAGGUGAUGAGGACCUCGCAUCUACGUGCAAAAAGUUGGAGAACUAAGAAAGACCUUACUCUGCAUCAGUCUCAUGAUCCUCCCUGGGCGCCAGGCUGGGACCGCACAUGAAAGACGAGAGGAGAUAUUCUAGGCGGACGAAAGAGUAUUUUACUAUCAAAUUGGAUAUGUCAGCAAGAGAAGAAGAAGAAAACUGGACAUGGCUUUGGCUGCUUAAACUGCCCUUGGGAUAGAAGAGAAAUAUGAACUCUCCACUCCGCCUCUUCUUUCGGAGAAAAAAUGGCAUUAGAAGUAGGAGUCAAUUUGGAUAUGAACCACUUCCUUUCCUAUCUUAUUAUUCAUUUGAAAAAAGGUAAGGUUCAAUUUCCCUAUUGUAUUAGGUCUGUGAUCAGUCUUCGAUUCCUUAGAAGCCUUACAAGAGGUUCCAGGCUUUUUUUGAUUUUCCUUUUACAUAGGUCGCAUUCAAAAUUACCUUCCAUUAUUCCUCUCGCUACGAUGAGGGUAUUGAAAUAAGAAGAACCCUGGCGGUACCAGCUAAGACUUUCCGGGAUAGUAUUAGGAUCCAUGAAAGAUCCUUUUUUCCUAGCCUUCCGGCCCCUUUCCUUACUUCUUAGGAGAAUUGAUAGAAUAGAGGCUGGAUCAAUAGCAAUAGUAAGAUACUACAGAUCCCUUGCCCUUUCAGGUGGUGAGGAAGGUAGAUGCUUUGAAUAAAAUGCAAACUGAGAAGACUGCUAGUUAGGUUGCAAGGAAGAAUUUCUCCUGAGAAUCUUAAGUGAAUCUAAGAAAAAAGAUUUGUGCUUUUCUAGUCUUAGAAAGUCUCCUAUCUGUGGCUAGAAGAGAGUUGCCGAUCGACCAAAGAAGAAAAUUCGGGAAAAUCUCCUAUUAAUUCCACUAAGAGGGAUUUCUUCAUAUAGUCAGAAUCGUACCAGGGAAGACUAAGAUCUUUCUUUCAUAGAAGGACUUGCCAGUAGGUGCGGGGUCGGAUAAGCCGGUCAAGGUCUGGCAGAGUAGAAAGAAAGGGAUGGAAGGUGAGACUUUCCAUUUUCUAUCCUCACCCUCACGGAGAGGCAUAAGAUCCGAAUUCGAGAGAAGACUUCCAGUGCGAAUUCUCUUUUUCACUAGGUUUUGAUUAUCUUUCAUUCUCACUUCAAACUACUAAGAAAAAAUGGGGAAAGGAUUAAGAUGGGAUACGGACCCAAAAAGAAAGAAUAGGCGCUGAUCCAGAGAACAAAGAGAGAAGAAGUGAUUUUCCUUUCCGGGAUUCUCCCUGAAUCCACCCUGUAUUUUUCCUUGGGUCAUCGUCCUUUCCGUAGGUUGAAGGUAAGAUGGAUGACGAGGAUAAGUUCUUUAUGAUCUUUUUUCAUUCUUUCUACUUCCAGUAAUAGGCAUCGGAAUGAGACCGGGGCCGAGUGGGGGAUUGAGCUAAAGCGAGAGGCGCAAUGAAAUAUGCGUGACACGUAGGGGUCGAUUGAGACGGAGUCAAGAUUGCUACUUAUUCAUUCUAAUAUGCCGAGUCAAAACGACUUAUAUAAAAGAAUAUAUAUUUUCAGGUUUUUUAUUCGGGUCUAUAACUAGAAUCAUCAUACAAUGAUCGGCUUUCCAAAGGUCAUGAGCGAAGACAGAAGAAGCUAUCCAAUGGGCAGGUAGAGUAUGAAUUCCCAGUCUAGAUUUGAGAGAUUUAGAAUCUUUCUAAUAUAAAGAGAAUGCAGUAGACGAAGGAGGGUGAGAGAAAGAGCGCAUGAUCGGGUCUAUAUAGCGGAAUCGAGGAUGAACUUUGCCGAGGGGAUCAAAAAGGUAAUGAUAAAGGUGGCCUCACCCGUAUUCAGUUUAGUUCUUUCGACAGGUAAGCGAUUGGAGCAUACUUUCCACGGAAAGGGAAGGAUAAGAAAUUCGGAACCGGAUAGUCAAUCCGAGGUCAGGUCCAGUUGAGUGGCGAGUACUCCUUGCUCUUCCGGUUGCAGGAGAAGUUUCCUCUUGCAGCUUCCUUCAUCCGCAUCAUCCGUCGGCCUCAUUCAAGAUUUAUGGAUUUCUUGAGGAUCUACCACUUGAAAGGAUAUUCCAUCCGGCAUGGAACCAUCUGUCGGCAGCUAUAACUAAUAGGAGAAGGGGGAAGGGGUACAGGCAAAAGUCUUCGGAAAGCAUAGAGAAGAGGAGAAAGAAGAAAGUGAUCAGGAUGAAAGCAAGAGCUUACGAUUGAUCUUAGGCUAGUCCCAUUCUACUCACUCAGGAAAAUAGAAGCGCUCGGCUAUGGGAAUAGUUCUAGGGCUAGCCCUAUCAUUUGACGAGAUGAUAAUAAUAUCCCUUCUGACCUAAAUCAAAAAAGACUAUUCAUAAAGCCAAGGUUCAAAGAAUUUGAGUAAUUAUUCAUGAAAUUCCUUUGACUUCUCCUUCUCUUUCGAUAAGAAAGCUCUUCUAUCAUUUCUUUGGGCUGAUCGGUAAGUUGAUCUCUUUCAUUCGGACAAAACCCCCCGAGACUGAUCAUUCCCCGAGGUCCUCGAACCAGGCGCUUACUCUCAUUCUAAGAGUGAAGAGAAGAAUUCCCAUUCCUCUCUACCCCCACUACGCGGUCUUCAGUCGACCCCACUACGCGCUUCUUCCAUCCCUUGCUGGAUAAGAAGUGGUCUUUUCUUGCUUGAGUAUGCAUGCCUCAUCCUAAGACCAAGGCCAAUAGCCCCAGCGGUUUCACUCAAUUCCAUGCCAUGGGAAAUACGUUCAUUAGAAUAAAAGGAUAAAGAGUUCAAUGCCAGCGCAAAUCCUGAUAUUCAAGACCAACCUCGACCUCGUAACCGCUCCCUCGGUCUCACCCCUGCUACAACUUUUCUAUCUUGCGCUUGCACGGAGCGAAAUCCAGUAAUAAGAAGAGCAGAAAUAGACCUCAUAUAUAAGUCAUUCUUCUCUCAGAGUACAGUAAUUAGUUCAUUAUUAACCUGGUGCAAAAAAAAGAUAUUAUAAUAAGAAAGAAGAAGACCUCAAAUUCUUUGAGCCGUCCGGAGGACCAAAAAGAAAGGUCCAGGGUCCAGAGUCCGGAGUCCGCAGUCCGCAGGGCCAAAGAAAGGUCCAGGGUCCUACGUCCGGAGGAUUCUUAUCCGUAGGACUAUCCAUAUGGAAGUAGGACUAUCCAUUAUCUGUAGGACUAUCCGUAAUUAACCGAACUUUGCACUGGGGCAUAAUCUUUCGUUUUAUUAUUAUUAGCUUAUCAAAAAGAAAUGACUAGUUACCGAAAGGACUGAUAGUGCAUCCGCACAAAAUUAGGAAAGGGGUGCUCUUUGAACCUCGCAAUAUUCUUUGCACCUGGUGUAGCUGACUCUGGAUCUGAGACGGCUACUGCCCUCGUCCUGGGACGGACUCGGACUGAUGGGACUGAUUCCCGGAGGCGUCUUGAAACUCAUUCUACGUCAGCGACUGUCUUCUUCAACCUCGGCUGCGACAGACCCAGGCCGAUCCAUCCGACCCAAAGCCUAGAUCUACCGACUCCUAUCCCUCUCCGGGACCGCAGUCCACUAUUGGGCGUCCGGUUUGAGAUAAAGAAGAAGAAGACAGAGAUUCUUGUCCACUCCCGAACUAAAGAGAGAAUUGAGUGAGAUUAAAUACGAUAUUAGGAAAUGGGGAUUCUAUCUGAUAAUUGGGAUUCUUUGUCUAUUAUUUUGGUUCUUGUCCGAUCCGCUGCUAAGACUCGAGCGAAGCAAGUCCUUCGCCUCAAUGAACUUUCCGAAGUCAGGACCGUAGGCAAGGGGCGAAGCCAAGCGAAAGGAGCGCAAACUGGAGAUACUACAUCUCGUCCUACGCACGGGAGCGCAAAGCGAGGAGGACUCUUCAGUCUAAACCUACUAUUUGGAAGAAAGCCUCAACCCCCACUACGCUACAGAGAAGACGCCAAAAAUCAAGGUCCAGGCGCCAUAAGACAGGGAUAUUCUUGUCUCCUUCUAAGAAAAAUCAGUCCAUCAUAUCUUCUUAUUUCUUUCUAGGCUUCGCCAUUCUCGUAUUAGCAGCUCGCUCUUAUUCAUUCAAUAGUUGUCCUUCUCUGAUUAUUAGUUUCGCAGGUGCAACUCAACCGGAGAAAUCAGACUCAAGAUCAAUAAGAACAUAAGCUCAGCAGCUCUGAUUAUUUUAUUAGUUUCGCAGGUCUUCUUAUUAUAUUAGAGAAAGAGGGGCGAAGCGAAUAGUCGUGCAAGAGAAGAGAUCUCAUUUUUUCGACUGAAGGAAGGUUCGGAGACGUAGUCGAUGAGAUAGAAAAGGGGAAAAGUGCAUUAUCAUAAGGAAAACAGAGUUUACGAAGUUGAGCGAGAGGGACUAGGCACAAACUAUCUAUAUAGAGCCGUUAUGAGUUAGAUUGCUUUCACUCGAUAAUGUGUACAAAAGCAUAAAGAAUCUAUUUCAUGAGUUUGAGCUAUAGGGGAAGCUAUAAAUAGAAAACAAGAGGACUCAAGGCUCGACCAGUUCCGGUAGCUCGCUCUUCUUCUUUCAGUAGCCGUCAGUUGUUCCAGCUGAGUCAAGCUAUCUUACUUGCUCUUUUUAGUGAAAUCGGUCUAUGAUGCAAAAAUGUAGAUUUAGAAGCUGCCCAUAAAGGCAUUGACCUUAAACCCUAUCUCUUCCUUCUACUUAAAAGCUGAUUUUUCUAUGCCCUCCACCCCCCACUGAAAUUAAAGAACGGGAGGCAGAAAGGGCCCUUGCUGCUUCAAGGGAAUUCGAUCUUUCCGAAGCAAGAGAAGGGGAAGCUAGAACUCAGUCAUAAGAAGAAGUAGGGAAAAGAUCCGUUGCCCUUGACUCUGCUGUCGAUCUUUCUCUUUCAGAGUCCAGAAAUGAAAGUGGAAUCAAAAACAAGUCCUUUCAGACGAGUUCUAUAGCUUCGCCUAUUUUUUUCCAUUAAUCAGUCCUUCGGAGCAGUCCAAAAAUCAAGGUCCAGGUGACUCAUUCAUUCCUAAAUCAAGAAUGUCCAUCAGACUCUAGCCUAUUGAAGCGAAGGACUAUGAAUAGCUAUUAGAACGAGGGAGGCUGAAUUCAUUGAGUGAUCGAGGACUUGUUUAUAAUAACAUCAUAUUUUCGGAACGAGGCUCAUGAAAAUAGGGGAAGACUUGUAGUAAAUCAAAGAAAAUCAGAAUGAACUCAUUAACUCGAAUGAAAGAAGAAUUAUGAAUCUGCUAGAUUUCAGAUGAAUCCGCGGAGGGAAAUGCUAGGUUUUGGGCCUAUAAAGUAGCAAGAAAUCAAGUCAAAUGCCUUCUUUUUUCUCUAUUUUCGUUAAAUAGAAAUCUUCGAAAAAGUAUGAAAAAGAAGCAAAAAAGCCGGGAAAACGCAAUGAAAGAAGAACUCCUAGGACAGGGAAAAUCAAUGAAGACUUCUAGUUUGAGUUUAUGGUCCGGAGAAAUACGGGUCUAUUCUGGAAUUCACUCCGUCUGCAAUCUCAAAAUCAAUGAAGGAGUACAAUGAACAUCAUAAUGAUUCUUUCAUUCGAGUUAUGAAAUCAUAAUUCUUCUUUCAUUCUCGUUAAUGAGCCCGUAGUUAGGAGUAUUAAGACCGGUCCUACGUCCAUUUAUCCUCCGGACUAUCCGUAAUUAACCGAAGGAGUGGGCAAGGGGUGGAAAAGGUUCUGCCACAACCGAUGCCAUGCCGAUAUGACCAGUGGAUUGGGGCCUUCCCUUCCCCUGAAAGUGAGAGAUCCGCUGACUUUGGGAGUCCUAGUCCUGUACCUGGAUAGGGCGCUUCCUUCUUAUUAAUUAGUCUAGUGAAUACACCCGCAUAUUGAAUUGCGCCUCGUUCUCACAAUGAGAGAAUCGGAGUUUAGAGGUCCAAGAAGUCAAAAGAAAGACAGCAAUGUGAAAGUCAGAAAAGGUUCAAAGAAGAUUUCCGCUUGAUUUGAUUUCACGCUUCGCUAGGCUUGAUCUUUCUUUUCAUACUCCUAUAGUUCAAAUGGAGUAGUUUGGCAUGCUUCCGAGUUCUCUUGAUGUGACUGACUCAUUAUCACAAUCACAGAAGUAAUGGAAUGAAGAACGUGGAUCCCUCAACUAAGUAGAAUAGAUAGAGUCUCGCUACUCCCAUUCAGGAUCUUGUCUAGCUCCGACGCUUUCAGUGAGACGGCAAAUUCUCCCUCUUCCACCUUUUCAUACUAAUCUACGGAAAGAGACCUCUUCCGUACUUUCAGUUUCUAGUCGGACUAAAAUCAAAUAGUCCGAGAUCAUUCUUUGAGCCUCUUUCAUUGAUCUAUUUUGAUGCCUCUUCCGCAAGAAAGUCAAUGAGUAAAAAGAAUAUUGACGCUCGCAGCGUGGUUGCCUCCAUAGAGUGAGGUAGGCCUUUCAGUUCACUAAGAAUAAAGUCAAGACGGGUGAGCUCUUGAAAAAAGCUCUUGCAUCCAAUAAGCUUGGGAAGGUUAUGAAAUAGUGCGUGCCUCUUCUUUUAAGAGGAAAUGAGAAAGUAUCCCCAUUCUCAUAAAAAAGAAAGAAUCCCGCACUGGGAGGAGUGUCCACAAGGGCUAAGAAAGAAGCAGUUCUGUUCUGGGAAGCCGCAGCUCAGUCUCUUUCUUCAGUGGCAUAGGAAGGAGUUGGGGAAGUGAACUCCGUUGAAGUGGCAAGUCCUUUCUCUUGUUCUUGAUUUGCAAUCUCAUUGAUGAGAAAAGUGCCGAGGUUCCCGAAGGGAUCCGACCUAAUCUAUUGUAAUAUCUCAACUAAGGAAAUGCAGCCUCACCCUUUUUACGAGAAAGAGGCAGAAAGGCGCAAAGAAUAUUGCGAUGCGAUUGAGAAGAAUUUUUCAGACCUAGAGGAGAGGGAGAGAGAGAAAGGGAGCAGUUAGGGUCGAGGUAUUCACAAGCCUCCAGCGCUCACAAUUCUUCUUUAGUAGGGUCCCUUUCUCCUUUGAAUGAGAAUAGGGGAAGAUAGGUUCAACUAAGCUUCCUUCCUAUGCAAGAACGACGACUUCUGCCUCUGAUGAUGAAAGUGCUCCAUUAGUUCUUUGCCUCGGUUGAGCUCUACUUCCCCAGGACAGGAGAACGGCAGAGGAGAAAUCGACCUACCUAAUUGAGCACUUUCUUGUCUUCUUUCUUUCUCAGGUUUCCAUUUGUUAUCCCCCACGGUGCGGUGCAAAGAAUAUUGCGUGGAAGUUCUUUCUGUAGCAGAAGAAAAAGAAGUAGGAGUUGAAAGAAGAACUGGGACAAGCGAAAGAAUCGAGUAAUAUCAUCCCAUUAGGAAGAAUGCUGAACGAGCAUCAUAUUGAGGAUAGGCUCCCAGUACGAAGGGAGAAAGAGGAAGCGAGAAGUUACCGAUCCAUAAAAUCUAGAGGCUCAAAGAAUAUUGAGCUUUCUCCGCGUGCCAUUCGAAAGAGAGCGGCGGGAAAGGGCACAUCCUGAUUCAGAGGUUCGUCAAAGAUGUCAAGGAAAGGAAUCUGUCUCGGCUCGGACGGAAGAAAGGGACAAAGUAAGGAGACAAAGAGGCGCAAAGUAUAUUGCGUGAAGAGAAGAUUUCCGCUUUCUUUGAAAUUCUCUCUGUGGCUUACAGGGAAGUUGAGGAUGCGUCAUCUCUUUCAGGAUCAGUCUCAGCCCUUGUUCAUUGAGGCGGUUCUAGUAGCUGAGGCGGUAGCUCUUUCGGCUCUUCCUGAAGUUGCUGAGGAUGCCUCAUGAGAGAUCGAUCGGGACUAGAUCUCUUGACCAAAUAGAUAGAAAGGCUUAUGUAUUUCUCUAAAUCAAAUUCAUUGCCAUAUGAUAUGGAUGAUGAACUAGUUCUAUAGCUAAAAAGAAAGGCGGUCGAUCUAUGAUCCCUGAUUGACUUUUUCUUAAGAAAAGCAGAGUGAUUCAAGGCCCACAGAGCGGUUCUUCUUCUUUCAGUUUACUUCUUGAGACAUUCUUCUCUAUUUCUCAGAUCAUAAUAGAAUCUACCUUUACUGAGCACGCACACGCUCCCGGCACAGCACAAGAGAGGAUCGGCCGAACUCUUUUUCAGUUAGUGGGACACGCCCAAGAACUCAGAUACGACUUAAGAUUUAGACACAGACAGCAAGCCACCUCGCUCUUAGGAGAGGGACGGAGGAGGAUUCAGGACAGCUAAAUCAUAUUUAUUAGCAAGCUCCCAUUACAUCAAAUUACCGGUAGGUCAGAAUAGAAUAAAAGGAUAAAGAUCAAUCAAUACCCGAUGAAGAACUAAGCUAGCAUAAUCUAAUUCCGCCUAUGAAAGAUGCCUCCUACUCCGGGUCUCGCCUUUCGCCUAAUGGUAUUCUCCUUCUGCGCCUACUCACUUACCCCUACGUGGGACUCGUAAACCACCCUUUCGAAGAACUUAGCCGCUAUCCCGUCCCAGAUUCAAAGAGCUAUUGAAAUAUUCUGAGAUCAUUCUUGAGAUAAUUCUUUGAUCCUCCGUCCUUAGUCGUUCUUUAUAUCCAUAUUAGCUUAGCUUUCUUAGAGCGAAGGACUCGGUAAAAUGCUAUUUUUCAUCGAUCAAUAUCCGCGAUUGCCUUCCAAAAAAAAGCUGUUAAAGCACUAAGUCAAAGGCCUCUGACCAAAUAAAAGAGUGAGCCACGGAGCGGUAGGCCUUUCCCUUCGUCUGCAAUAAUAAGCCUUCUACGGGCUGAGUCCAAAUCAAGGAUUUUUGCAAGAAAACCUAAAAACGGCUAAGCUAAUAAGGCAAGGUUUUGAUGAUUUACUUUACUAUUACCUACGGCAACAGGAGGCGACCUAAUAAAUACUGUCAAAAGAAUAUUGACCUAUCCCUCAUCCCCUAAUGGAUAGUCCUUCGGACCUGUCUUAUGGGGCCUCAGUAGCUUAAUAUGCUUCAAUCUACCGCUACGCUACGUGGGUAACCUGUCCGGAGGGGAGUGCAAGUCAAGAGGAGUGCAGGAAAAGGUGAACUUUCAACGGUGGAGUGGAUAAGCCAAGGCUGUCGCUUUGAAGAGGGAAGUCGGCAAACUAACCUCAUGAAUAUCAACUCGAGUACCUUCUUAGCCUUACUAGGGAACUGAUAACCUAUAUCUGAGACAGUCUAUUGAUUCCAAUACGGUGUCGAUCCCUUCCGAAACACAGACAGAAGGAAAGAGAUAGGGGGUCGCGAGCCUCCCCUCAAAGGGAUACUGCCUGCGGAUUCCCCUUUUCAACUAUGGGUUCAAAGAAUAUUUCAGCUCGGCCUACGAUCUCACGAAGAACUUCUCCUUCUUCCACUAAGUCAGUCGGAUGGGACUUCUGCCUCCGCUUCUUCAGGUUAUGAUUCCCCAGCCGGGUUAGUCGAGCGCCCUGCCUUAUUCCGCUCUUUCUGCCUUAAUGACCGGCGGGGCAAUUCAAAGACUUUGAUUUACAAUCAAUCCCAGGAUCUAGCGAAACCCCUUCUUUAUCUCUUUCUUCAACAAGAGCUAGAGCGAAAGCUGAAAGAACAAAAGCAGCCUCGAUCCGCGCCCUUGCUUCAGCUUCAGUAGUUCCUAUUCCCAAGAUCAGCCGAUCCGAAGAGAGUUAGAGAAACUUCCGAUCAUCCGACAGGUUCAUAUUCCAUCAAGAGUCCAAGAAGUCAGGAACCUAUUAAAAGGAAGGAAAGCCUAUCUCAAAGCAUGAAAGAAAAGAUUUCUAGUUCAAUUGAGAAUCCAGAGAGGAUAUUGAAGACAGCUUCAUCCCUAUUUAUUUAUGGAUGUUCAUUGAAGCCGGAGGCUCCAUAAGACAGGGAUAUAUUGUUGGAAGGCGCAAAGAAAGAAGCUCAUUAACUCGAAUUCAAGAAUCAUUAUGAUUGAAUCACCCAUAACCUGGAGGGAAAUCCAGAAUAGACCCGUAUUUCUCCGGACCAUAAACCAUAAGAAAACUCUGUUCAUUGAUUUUACCUGUCCUAGGAGUUCUUCUUUCAUUGCUAUUUCCCGGCUUUUUUGCUUCUAAAUAGGACUAAAUCAAAGAUUGAUAUUUAACGAUAAAAGUACUUUUUUGACGGAUUUUUUGUCUUUUCUUGCUACUUUAUAGGCCCAAAACCUAGCAUUUUCUUGUAUUUCCCUCCGCGAAGGACUAGUCUGAAAUCUAGCAGAUUCAUCUUCAAUCUAGCGGAUUCAUAAUGAUUCUUGAAUUCGAGUUAAUGAGUGAAUUCUGAUUUUCUUUUAUUGACUUUUCCGCCAUAAGACAGGUCCUCCGGACGGCGCAAAGAAUUUGCGAAGAAGGCGCAAUGAAAUAUGCGAGGCUGAAUUCAAUUUUCGUAGCUCUGACUUUCAAAAGAAUGAUCUUUGCGAAGGUUCAGCUUCAUUCCUAUAUAUAGUACUUUGUCUUUGUCUUAACUUAUAUCCAUAUUUUCUUUUCUUUUGGAUUCCUUUCUUUUCAUUAAUUCAUCCUUGAAUGAGGCCUUACGCUGACGAGCUUACCGAUCAAUGGAUGAGAGAUGGAACUCGUACUGCUUCAAGCGAUCGUACUUAUGAUCUUCCCUCUCUCCGCAAUAUUCUUUGCACCUCUCUACACAAGACUGAAGGUCAAUUUCUGAGACCGUCCGAAACAUAGAAGACGCCUUUUACGAUACCAAGAGGAGGAGUGAGCUCAUGGUGGUACCGGGGGACUUCCCCUUCUUGAGACAGGUAAGAGCUACUCCUGCUGCUUCCGAUUCUUUUCUUUCCCUUUGAACCUCUCAUCAUGAGGGGAAAAGUACAUAAUUCAUCCUUGAAGCCCUCGUUGCAGUUCUUCUUUCAGUAGAUUUUCUUGAUGAAAUUGAAUAAGAAGGAUGCCUCAUGAGAGAUCGAUAGGGAGAUCUCAAAGCCAAGGCUUAAGGCGAGGCCUAUUUAUCGUCAUUCCCCUCUAUCAUCUCCUUUCAAAGAAGAAAGAAGUACGCUUAGCAGAAUCGGAGUUCAAGGUCAGACUCAGUCGCUCUAUCUCACUCAGAAGCUUGACCCCUUCAGUCAUUCGACUACGAUCCCAGUUGAUGCUUCAAAGUGCAAAGGCAGUUUAGGCCCACUCCGCGGUCCCUGGAUCUCCGGCAGAGGCUGAGUCAUAAGCCUAGAUAUGAAGAGCUAAAGAACUGGAAGAUUAAGAGGAAGGAAGUUGAUUUCUGAAGUUGAGAAGGAUCGAGUCCAUGCCAGACCUGUAAGAGUCACAAUUGUAUUCUUGAAACUUGCAUGAAUAAGGCCCUAUAGAGGAAGCCACACGUAGCGGUUUUAUCCCAUAGGCUGCUGAAACAAAGGGAUAGCUAAUAUAGUCCCAUAUCCGGUGCUUGGGAAUUGUCUAAAUAGUCUCGCCCAUUGCUGAGGUCAAGGAAAAGCAUACUCACUGUACCGCAACCAACUCUCAUGAGUUAGUUCUAGCUUGAGGAAAGAGAUCAAUAGAAAGAAAAUGAUAAUAGAGAAUGAUAAGACCCCACCUACAGGGCAUACCGCUACGCGGGCACCCAAGUCCGCCGAUUUGCCUUAUUCAUUCAAGAUCUCCCUAGCUACUACCCCGAUCACAAAGAUAGUUGUAGAGGCAGAGGUUCUUUCAUAGGGGUGCCGAACCCCGUUUAGGGCCACUCCGUCUGAUCAUGGAAUAGAUGAGAUAGAUCCCUUUGUUCAUUCAUAAGUUGCCGAUCUUGAGGAAGAUGCAGUUGAAGAAGCUGUUCUUCUUUCAUCAGUGGCUGUUGAAGGAGAAGUCGUCCUUUCAUGAUCCUUUUCAUUGGGGACGUUUCCACAAGUGUGAAUCAAGCAUGAACAAAGAAAGAAUCUCUUAUUUGAAGACGAAAGCAAAUAAUCUCUUUUCAUUGGGGAAUCCAUUGAUUAAGAAUCUUUGACCCUUGUUCAUUGAGGGAAGAGAGGAAAGGAGCGAGACCCGUCCUUUGCCUUUGGUUUGCGCCCCAGAAGGCCCAAAGUCAAAUUUCAUUGAUCCUUCUGACUAUUCAUCCUAUUUAAAUAGUGGGACUGAUUUUAUCCAAAAAAAGAAAAGAUUCCACUAUUCAUCAAGCCUAUCUCCGCAUUCCUUUUAGUUUUCCAAGAAAACAAAAGUAAAAGAACCUUGUAUUUGAAAGAAAUAUCGUUUCUAUGCUAGUGAAAAUAGCGCAUUUGAAUGAAGCUAGGCUCUUAGAGGAGAAGGCUCCUUUUUUCUAGGCUUUCUUUAAACAAACCUACUGAAAAUAAAGAAGAAAGAAGAAUCCCUUCGCUAGGCUUGAUCUUGAUGACUUGAUAGUUUUUUCUAGGCUUUCUUCUUUUUCUUUGGAGCAUUAAGAGUUGAAGGUGAAAUUCAAAAAACCUAUGCUUCUUUAUAACGGCUUUUCCUUUUCCCUCUCUCUCUCUUCCCUGUCCUAGCGAUCUGUAGACGUACCCCUUCACGAGCGAAUUGAAGAAGAAAGAGGACCUUCCCGGAUUUGCACGAUAGUCAGCUAUACUAGCCUACAAUGAAGGAGAGAGUGGUAUGGAUAUGGAGCCUCAGCCUGGGCGUAAAGUGCCUUUGAGUAGCGGGUUAGUGGUAAGGUCCUUCCCGGAGAGCGAGAAAGGCACGGCUGCUUUCAUAGAUGGAGUACAUGGGCCCAGGAAGGACCCCUGGCUAGAAGAGGGCUCACGGCUUGCAUGUACAAGAUCGUAGUUCAAUCGCAGCUUCACCGACGUUCGCGCUGAUCCCGAGCAGCGUCUCAGCCGAGAGGGAACUCAGAAGGGGGAAGUUCUUGCUUAGCAUCACGUGCGAGCCUAACCGUAGCGGGCAUCGAGACUAGGUUCAAAACGUGAAUAGAGUACGUGCGACUUUGGUCAAGCAACAAGCUCUUGAUCGGUACGAUAUAGACGAGUCAUCUAGUCCUCCCACUGUCUAAAGGAGGGCCCAUCCCUGAACAUUUCGGAUGCUAGCAGGGCCUCUUAUCGUCGAGCGGCUUCUUCCUGGACAGUACUGUUGCUGAACUUAUCUCUGAGGAGACACUGAUUUGGGGUGUAUUUUCCCUCCUUCCCAUGUAUUUAUGUGUAUUUUUUUCCCUCGGGGUCACGGCUCCGUAAUUAAGGUCAAAACUUCCAGAUCGGCUUCUUGAACUCCGUAAUUCAGGUCAAGCAAGAUCGGCUGAUCCGCUUAUCUUAUCCGGACCACACACUCUCAGUCUUUUUAUUGGCAUUUCUUUUCCCUUAAGGAACCACAAGUUCUUUCAUUAUAUUUUCACCCUGACCCUACUUCCCAACUUGACCCCUACCUUAGAUUUCCUAUUAGGUUCACACUUGAUCUUCUUUCUUGUAUUUCCCCUUUGCCUUAUUAGCUUCCCUGACCCUAUUCCUUUCCAUAUUAGGUUUUCCCUUAAAGCAUCAAUCUGCCCUAUUUUCUAUAUAUUAUUCCCAUCUGUAGGUUGGCCUACUUCCGCUACUUCCGCCCCCUAUAACCUUGAUUUUUCUUUUUCUUCAGUUUCUUUCUUUUUUUUUCAUCGCUAUGGAUUCAAUCCAGCCACAGGUUCCCCUACGUCUACUCAUUCGAUUUUUUCCCCUACGUGUCUUCGACAUAUUCUAUAUUUGCAUGUGCAUUAUAUUUUUUCCAUUGUUCAAGUUGGUCUUUGUCUGUUGAUUGCGCAUAGCUCUUUCAUCCUUCUUUUUCUUUGUAGCAUACUACAGGCAGGAUCAACUUUGAAUUCAGACAGAUUGCCUUGCGCGCCCUUUGGCAUCAAAUCGUCGAAUGUGCUUUGUCUGUUCAAGCCCUAGCGUAGCUAUCUAGUGGCACUGUCACAACCCCUUCUUGCAUCUCUCGCUAAGCUAAAGGAAGACUUUCUAUUGAAGACCGCUCCCCAUAAAGAAGAGAGGGCUCUCGAGCCUGCUAGUGCCAUUGAUCGGGCUGAACUCUUACCGGCGAGUGAAAUAGAACGUACUGGCUGAAAAGAGUUACUGACUGGCCGGGUUUCACUUUGACUUAAGACUAUUUUGAAUACAAGAAAGAGAGCUUGAAAUGCUUUGAUCACAGGAUCUUUCCUUAGAUGUAGGAAAUUCUCCCUUCUAGCCUAGCUAAGGAAAGACUACCCGCGGAUUUAGCUUGAGUAAUUCUCAUUCUUGGCUAAAGAAGAGAAAUGGCAUCUUUCCUAAGCUAAGUAAGACCGCUAGCGCUUUCUAACCGAAAGAAAGGAACUCGCAGAAGGCUAAGACAAAGCUGCUUCCUAAGUCAGUCAGGUAUGGCUCCAUCUGAUAUGAUUCCCAACAGUCAGCCUUAGACUAAACUCCCUUUCAUAAGAACCUAAUAGAGCGAUAUCCCACAUCAACUCGGUACCCUUCCCUUGCUGGUGACUCUUUCUGACUUACGCCUUGUGAGAAUGAAGAGAGACCACAUACUAAGAAAGAGAGGGCAUGAGAGAAAGAAAGUUCUUGUUUCCGGGCUCAACUAUGGGAAUAAGGUUCAAAGAAUAUUGACGAGCUGGUGGCAUUUAAGUGUGAGGCAGCCAACUGCUGGGUCACGAGUACAGUACCAUACUGCAUCGUAUUAGAGAUGGGCUUGAAAAAGGACCCGCGAGAAGCCUUUUGCACCAAGCCAAUGAGCCAUACCAAUCUGACCCCCGUCUUCUCUUAGUGCGUCAGACUAGUCUUUGCCUUUCAUCGCUGCCUUCCGCUUAGUUCAGGCCGGUCGAGAAAGUAGAGUGACUGACCUGAGGACUCGUGAGCUCGCAGGGCUCAUAGGAUGGGAUGAGGAUCAUAUUCUCUUAUUAUGCCUCAAAAGAAAGAUCAAGCCUAGGGUUGGAGAAAUGUGAACGACGUAAGUCAGUGGAAGCAAAGGGGCAAUCGGCUGUCUAAAGGACCCCAUUUGUGGUUUCAGGCUAAGUUCAUUCUGAGAUAUGGAUCACUCUGCUAUGCUAGAAGACUGAGCAGCUUCAGUUUAUUACCAACCUCGAGUUCAACAACUAUUGGGUAAAGCCUAAACCUUACUCCGAACCUUCUAUCGGAACUGGCAAGAGAUCUCUAGAUCCGAUGCAACUAGAAUAGAACCUACUUAUUUGGAAGAAAGCCUAUCAACAAGGAAGAACCUACUAUUUGGAAUCAGACUCCUAACCUCUGAUUUAUGGGGAGGGAGGCAAGGAUUACGAACUUAGACCUCUCUCUUUGUAUUUGUCUUAGCUUUCUUUUCCUUUUGAGUGGUGAUCAGUCGGAAAUCUUUCUGACUCAUCUGGACCUGGAUAUAAACAAGUCAAAAAAAAGGACUGAUUCCGUAAUUUCAUAACUAAUUCGUAAUGAGUUGGACUAGCGCUAAAAGGAAAAAAAGGAUGAGUUUCAGUGGAUUCGGAAUUCUUAUUUGGGGUCCUACAUUCUCGCAAUAUUCUUUGCGCCUCCGGACCACUAUUUACGAAAAUAUGAUGAAUAGUCCAAAAAGAAAGGUCAAGAUGAUUUUCUGGAUUCGCAACUCAUAUUGCAUUGAGCCUAAGGUUCUCGCAAUAUUCUUUGCGCCUCCGUCCGGACUCCUAACGAUAUAAUAGCUUUUUUUUGGUCAUCUGGUCCGAAAGGACUGACCGCAGAGGUUUGGCUCUUAAUAUGGAUUUCAGACUCGCUCUAAAGUAGGCGCAGUUAAGGAAAAAUUCAAUAUGCGAAAGCCUUGUUGAUUCUCGUUCAGAAGCUCUUUCUUUUCUAGGUCAAGCUUCUCAUAUUCGAUAUAUUAAUUACAUGUCUUUACCGUCGUCGUCUUCUUUUGCGCUCCCCGUAAUAGGACUUUGCGCUCCUUAACAGAAAGGACGUAGUAGGAUCAGUCCGAAGGAGGACUGAUAUCUUAUUAUAUCAGAUUAUUUCAUGAGCAGUUUCGCGGGAGAGAUAGCACUGCAACUAAGCAAGAUUGAUCAUUACGCGUUAAUAAAGAAGACGAGGGCUAGCAACUUCCCUUAAAGCGGUUUACUCAUCCUUGUCUGAGAUUUCAUCCUCUUCCCGCUACGUGGGGGUAGAGUGAUUGUGAAUUAGCGAAGGGUUGAAUUCGUAGAAUGGGUAGUUUUUCAAUGAAGAAAGAAGGCUUUACGAUCGAUCAUAAGCCUCAAAUCCAGAAAGCACUUAUUCAACUGCUUCAACGACAAGAAAAAGAGCUGAAAGAACUACGGGGAGCGCAACGCAUAUUUCAUUGCGCCUUCGGACGGGCUAAAAGAAGAACUGCUAUGGGUGCUGCGGAUUCCCCAGCGGGUUAACCGCGCCCUUUCCCCGUGGGCCUUGAGAGAAGCCUUUAUUUCGCGAACAUUACCUAUCGUCCAUCAACAACGGCUACAAGAACUAAAGCUGGAAGGGCACCUCGCCCUCCUGGGUAACUCCUCUCCUUCCUCCCCGUGGAUCAGUUCGACCUGCGCAGGUUUCGGGAGUGAUGAAAGUGCAAAUCGUAUCCAAACCACCAGUCAAAUAAGAUUUCGGGGAAUCUGAAUCCUCAGCAUUAAAUAAAUGAAUUAAGAAAUACACGCCUUGGGACGGAAGACGAAGAGCGAGGACGACGGAGUUUACUUACCGAAGAGUCCUUAGACCUGAGACUUAGGAAUUCGUAGUUUCGGAGGAUGCAUAAGACAGGGAUAUAUAUUGUAGGAGUUGACGGCUCGACUGUAAGGAGAGGGAGAGGAAAAGAAGCAAAUAAAGAGGUUAUCCAUUAGGUUAUCUCAGAACUUUUCUUAUCUAUCUUAAAGGAGUGAGGCAGGUAGAGGAUAAGCUACUUCUGCAGCAAGAAAAGCAGCUACUGCAACUGCCCGGAAGAACUUCUGAAGCAACUGGGACAGCAGCCUCAGUCAAUAUUCUUUGAACCUUGAUUCGGACACAACUGCAACUUCUGCCUCUUCGAGAAGGCGUGCGGGUCGAGCGUCUCGUCCUUAGCCUCGUCCACUUUCCGAUGUGGAGUAGUUAGACAGUUUGGCAUGGCAUCCUUCUUGUCAGUUAGUUCGGUUCGGGAAUCUUUUCUCAUUAACGAGAUUAAUGAGUGAAUUAAGGCUACGUGGACUUCUUUCAACUUGUCUGCAAGAAUACCGAAGCGAAGACGAGGGCACAACGACUGCAACUUCAGCCUAUCCUUCUGCUGGAACGGUCUACUGCUCCUGCCACAGCCUCCACCUCCAGAACCUAGACCUCAUCUCCUUCCGCCACAACCAAGAGAUCUUGCUUUUAGUGAAACCGGGGUUUCGUGCUCACUAAGCGCCCCCACUACGCGGUGGAUGCCCACUGCUGCGCUAAAAUACGAGGUUUGAAUCUGCACUCCUGCACUUCUCCGCAAUAUUCUUUGCGCCUCCUCUUGAGUUGUCUUUCUUCUUUCUCUCUUCUUUUACUACGCGGCAAGGCAAGAUUUCCUUCGCAUAUUUCAUUGCGCCUCCUCCGCGGUUAAGCUUCGCUUCUAGCCUUGCCUCCAGUUCCUUGCCUCCGGUUGCUCCUUUGGAGUCUGAUUUUCACUCCUUCUCCGGGCCAAGAGAUAAUCAGCCUUCGGCUGGAGUGCAAGUGAAAGAAGACGUAAAAGGAGGAGUGCAAGCGCAAGUCCUUCUACGCGGCAAGGAAUAAGACGUAUAAAGAAGUCCUCGCAUAUUUCAUUGCACCGCUCCGUGGGGCUGAAUGAAUUGAGAGAAAGAAUAUUUCACUUUCUUUGUCAUACGUAAUCUAAUAUCAAAUCUCGGUGCCCCUACGAGAAGAGGUCAGUUUCAGGUCACAGAAGGAGGAAUGGAAUAGGGGUUUCCGAAGCAAGCUAUACAUAAAGGGAAAAGGAGAGACAGGGACCAAGAGCACACUAUUCACUAUUUUUUAUAGGGUGAGAAGUAAUCUCAAUCAAUACGCCAGGCGGACCCCUCCAAAAUCAUUGAGGCGGUAUGGAGUGUGAUCCCCCCACGUAGCGGUUAGGAUUCUUCUAUUUUCUCUUAUAAAGUCAAAAGGGGUGCGUGCAGAUCGAAGGAGUUGUCGCCUAACUUCUCCUUUCAUCACCUUCUGGAAAUCUUCCAGUCCGUAGGACUAUCCAUUAGAAGGGCCUCAAGAGCGCCCACUUUAGCUAAAUAAUAGAGUGUCCAGCUGACUAUCCAUAUAGAACGAAGGUUAGGAGCAAAGCAUAUUGCGUGGAACUGAAAGAACUCAUUCAUUCCACAGAUUAAUAUGUCCUUAUCAAUGAAACUCAUCUGGAGCUUGAUUUUUGGCUCCAUAAGACAGGGAUAUUGUAGACGACGGAGCAAAGUUCUUUAUAGCUGGACCCUUUCGUCAUUCCUUUUUUAUUCCACUGAUUUUCUGGGUAGCGGCCGAGUGCCAUAACUAAACUCUGUUGGAUCAACAAAGCUCUUUCUUUCAUUAGAGGCAGAAGCUAAUUGGCUUUUUUCUUCUUCUUCAGUCAAAACUGAUUAAGUUUAGAUAGGGUCGCAAUAUUCUUUGCUCCUUUUCUUUAGCUCGAGCAGCUGAACUCCUCUUCUCUAGGUCGAGACUGAAUACCUUUUCUCUAGGUCGAGACUGAAUACCUCUGACUCGUGAACUCAACUCCUAAUCUUCCCGGGGGGAAAGCCUUAACCUACUAUUUGGAAGAAAGCCUAUCUCCGGCUAUUCUUUUUCGAAUGUAGCAGCAGGCAAGCACUCCUCUAUAAGGCCUUUCUUUUCACCCUUUAGCUAUGAACCCACUCCGCGGUAAAAUGGUAGUUGGUCCCUUAAUCAGGCAUUAAGCCAGAUCCCGGGUAAACCAAUGCCCCUUAACCGGUUCAAAGCCUACCACAUUCUGGACUCCGUCUUUAUGAAAGAAAUUUACGAAAGAUCUCAUACUCAGAACUGAAAAAGAUCGGAAACUUGAAUCUUUCUUAACUCCUUCCACUGGGACUUCUUCCUCUUGUCCGGCCCAAUCUAUUCUUUCUCAGUAAAGCAUAUUAUCUCCUCUCUCGAGCUACUUUAUUCCUCACCUCUCCAGUCGAGCCAGAUUCCUCUUGAUCCGGGGAUCUUCCCUUUCUAAGAUGAUAGAUGCUAAUCGUACUACUUUGUAUUCCUCCUUACUCAUUCCAAUGCAUUCGAAUACCCUCAUAAUCGUAUGAAACUUCUCAUUCAAGGGAUCCAGCUUCGGAAACUGGGCCAUGCAGCCUAUGGCUUCGCGGAGAUCCCAAUUCUCCCUAUAGAAGAAAAGGAGUAUAUUCACAUUCACUCAAUAAGAAGAAUUUGAACUAACUAUUCCCAAUGAGAUGAGAAGGAGAAUCAAAGGAAUUUCCUCCUAUAAAAAUCAGUGAACAUUGGUCCAUAAAUGAACUUUGCUCCGUCGCUAAUUCUUUGCGCCUUACUAUUUUUGCUUCACGUCCGGAGCCUUUGUUAUUUGAGUAUUAUUCCACGAGCGCGCCAUUUCGCUAAUUCUUUGCUUUUCGCAAGUCAAAUUCUUCUCAUAAAUAUUCUUUGCACCUAUUAGCCGUUUUUAGGUUCCCACUCCUUUUGCAUCAAAAUAGAAGUUGCGCUUUCUUGUCAAUGGAUCUGGCUUUGACGCUUCUAGCCAUCUCGCCUUCUAUCCUGUGUUUGAGUCACUUGUAGUACAUGAAAAAGAGAAAGAUAAGAAACCCCUCUAAAGUAGCCUUCCUCAUUAGGAAGGAGAGUUGGACUAGCCAACCAGCUACACCUAUGAAUCAUGACUUCACCAAAGCGAUAUUCCAUGAAAGAAAGAGGGAUGAGCCACUUUCUGACUUCUGUCUGAAGCUUGUUUUGACUCUCAAUCAUUAGAAUUUGACAGCAAUGAAAAUAGUCAAAUCACAGUCUCCCUGAAUGAGGCCUUAUAGCUCAGAUCUCUCAGCUUACCGAAGAAGGGAUCGAGCAGCUCUGUCCCUAGCGGGUAUUCCAAAGAAAGCGAGCACCUUUCCAGGGAAUCUAUCCUAUAUUGGUCCAUUCUCUCCAGAACGGAGAAUUGUGCUUAUGAGGACUGACGCUUGAUCUCUCUCUUACACCUCCAAAAGAUCUCCAAAGGUCCGUAGGUGGAGCUCUAGCCGAGUCAACUUCUAACCGCGGAGUGGGAGUAGUGAAUAGUGAGUUAUCUUCCCCUUGGGAAGGGCACAUGGGGCACAUACAAGCGAGGGUAUUGGUUCGGGUCGAUCGGCUGAAGCAAGAGUAGUUGCGGUAACAUAAUAGGAAUCUGUCUAUCCUUUAGACCUACUACCUGGCACCAAAGACCUCUGAAAGUAGCUGGGCUGGAGGAAUCUUCGACUAUAGACGAGCAAGGGCUUUUUUAUGUAGCUAGAGAUCUUUCAUUCCCUCUUUCAUAGGAAGAGAGGUUUCAUGGGCCCGACGAACUCUUAAUGGAAGACCUAAUUUUCUUCAAUUUCUCUCUAAGGGGUUCAAUCUCUCUAAAUGUUCACAGGCUUGGGAGACUUGGCCUUCGACUCAGUUAAAGAGAAAAGAAGUAAUCAGCUGGAAGCCUUCUUUCUUUUAUAUAGAAGGCUCCUGAUUUUAGAUUCCCACGGGAACAUGGAGCAGGUCGCUGCACACAUCAUCCUAGAAAAGAUGUGGUUCAUCGUCAAAAGAAGAAGAAUGGGAUCUCAUUUCCUAUAAAUUGACUGGAUGUUCUCAGUCUACUUUGACCUAGUCAACUUGGCAAGGUAAGUCAAGUAGUUCAUGAGGAAUCAUCAUUAGCAUUCGCGGGGUACAAAGCCAAGGCAUCCUUAUCUUGGGAGUGAAAAUGAGUUCUAUCUUAUACAUUUUUUUCAUUAGUUGUUUUGCUUGUCUUUUCAUCUUUUUUCAAUCACGUGACGAUCAUUCUAUUUCCAGAUGGAAGACCUAAUUCUUAUUCGUUGAUUGGAGAUUAAGAUGUUCCCACGUAGCGGUAAUUAGUAGGUGUCAACGGAAAGUCAGGCAUAGAAAGUUGGCGGUUCGGCAUAAAAGAAAGCGGAAAUCUUAAUCUCAAAUACUUUGAGCCUUCAGUUCAGAAAGAGAUAAUACGCGGUAGAAUUCCACCUGUGCCUGAGGCGUCUUCCCUUAGAUGAGAAGAGAGUUAUCAGCGCUUUCUUCAUUAAUGGGAAGGAACAUCCCCUUUGAAAGAUCGGAACUCUCUUUAUGAGUUAAUAACAGUCCUCAAACAAGAGGGAGAAUUCCUAUGAACUGAAACCGACCCGAGAGUGGCUUUUUAUUGGAUUCUUCCUGGGCAAUAUUCUUUGCGCCUUUCUUCCUAUUCGAUCCUAAUUCCAUUCCCUUAGGACAGAAAAAAACCCUUGCUUCCUUCCUCCUACGUUUUCUCGAGUAUGCCUCUUGUCUCCUUUGUUCCAAAACUGUUAACAACAAUACCGGUUCAGACUUUCUUUCUAUUAAGUCGUAUGAAUACCGCUCCGUGGGCCGAGACACCUCAAGAUAAGAGUGAGUUAGAGGUGAGACUUCGUACUCUUCCCCGCGCCCUACUAAUUCUAUCUUAGCUUUCUCGCAUAUGAAUAAUAAAAUAAGAAAGCAGAAUAACUAAAGACGCACACCCGAUCGAAAAACAUCGGCUUCUAUAGCGACUUCAACUGCAAAAGCAAGCGGAACAGCCCCACUCACUGGAGGAAGAGGUUCAUUGGUCAUAUACGAUCCCACGUAGCGGUGGGAAGUUGGGUACAGGCUGAGUUGGGAUGGGAAAAGAAGAUCUCAUCGAAAAGACUAGCCCUGCGCCUGAACUAGAUAUGACAUGCCCUCCCCUGUGAGCCCCCAGUUUCAUUCAUCAGAUUUAGGUUCGUUGGCUCGGAAGAAAAGGAGGCAGCAAAGGAGCUUGAGACGAGGGAAAGGAUAAGGAUCUCUUGCAUUGCAGACUAGGUUGAGGUCCCAGACCUAAUCAUUGACUUGUUGACGCUGCCCACGUAGCGGAGUCCUUAGUGGAAUACUUUUUCGCAAAUUCUUUGCUCCUAGUGGAGGUUCAAAGAAGAUUUCAGGGCUGCAAAUGACAAAGACUAUUACUUUUCUUACUAUGCGAAGCGACCACCGGAGGCGCAAAGAUCUAUGGCCCACUACGGGGGAUAUUGUAGUUUGAGUUCCAUAAAGAACUCCUUCGGAGGGGGGAGGAGCUCUUUAUUCUUUUAAGUAGGUUUAGUAGGUUAAUGGACUUAGGAGUCUUUUCAAGAGGUUCCCCGGAUUUAGAGUCAAAAGACUUUUGCCUUCUCAUUCAUACGAGCUUGCCGAUCGACGGAUCUUUCAUCCUCAACGGUUAGCAGCACCACCGUCAAUGCCGAAAAAAGAGGAUAGGUCUUGCCUGAACAAAGCUCUUUCGGAAAUUCUGCUUGGGUGAAAAGAAUAUUGAAGCUCGCCUUACGAUCUCAUGAUCUAGCGGACGGCUUCUUCUCGUUCAGCAUUUUACCAUAGGAAAUCUUUUGGAAUUGAUGAGAUUUAUGAGUAGUCUUUCGUUGUCCCAGUUCUUCUUUCAACUGAAUAAAGAACUUUAACGGAGACUGAAACAGCCUCAACUGUGGCUCUCGCAGCGCGGCUUGCCUCCCUCCUCCUUUCAGAGUCAAGAGGACCCCUGAGACCUUUAAAUACGACUUCGAUCAUUCUUUGAGCCUCCGUCGCAAGUCAAAUUCUCUAAUGGAUAGGCCUUCCCCCGUCCUCCGUCCUCGCAAUAUUCUUUGCGCCUAGCCUUCGGACCAGUCCGGAGGACUAUCCAUAUUCAGGAGCGGAAUCAAGAAUAGACCCGUCAGUAUCCGGACCAGAAACCAUAAGAAAACUCUGUUCAUUGAUUUUCCCUAGAUUUUGCUAAUGGACCAGUUGCAAUUUCCCGGCUUUUUUGCUUCUAAAUAGGACUUUUUCGACUUUUCUUAUCCAACGAUAAUAGAGAAAAAAGAAGGCAUUUUUCAUGAUUUCUUGCUACUUCCCUAUGGGCAAAACCUAGCAAAAUCAUGGAAUUCACUCCGUCUUCAUUAAGCAAAGAUGUCUGAAAUCUAGCACAAAGAUGUCUGAAAUCUAGCAGAUUCAUAAUUCUUCUUGAAUUCGAGUUAAUGAGUGCAUUCUUCAGCACUUUCUAUUUCUUUCUCCUAAUUUGUAAACUCGAAAUCUGAAAAGAGCCUUCGCUUCUUUAAUGGGAACGUUGUAAAGGGUAGAAAACUCCUACAAGAUCCAGAAUUAACCGAAGGAGGACCUGUCUUAUGGCGCCUUCUUUUUCUUCUUUGAACCUCCGGUAAAAUCACUUUGCUCCGUCGGAGCGGUCCCGACCCUUUUUAGAGCUUGAGGAUAGGGCUAGUCCGCCGAUUUGAGUUACCUUGCUACCCUUCUUCCCCAACCGCGUAGUGGGCCCGCUCCGUGGGCUGCCCACUGACUAGAAUAAUUAUAGUAAUUCUUCUUUCUCUUCGUCCUACGAAGGCUCCGGAGGCUCAAAGAAUUUGAGUCCUUAUAACUUGUUCAUUGACUUUAUUGUAGAAGCUUUACGGAAUAAGACCUCUCCCCUUGGUAUCCUUCUUCCUCAGUCAGUGCCCUAGCCAAUGAGCUAGCUCAAGUCGCUACGGAAAGAGAGAAAUACCUUUUCAGAAUCAGACUAUCCUAGUCCCAUUAAAGCAAGAAGGCUUCAAGAUCAAGAUUCAGAGUCAUAAAAACAAGAACAUCGACCGCCUUGAUUCUGUUCAUUGAGGCGGAGCCCACUCCGCGGUACCAAAGCAAAGAGGAAGAGAAUCAAUCGUCGGAGACGGAGAGAAAAAAUCACUCAUAGGGCGUCGGCUGCUAGACCCCCACGGAGCGGUAGGAGCUGUGGGAGAGGAAUGAAAUAGCUCGACCGGAGAAAUCUUUCUCUUUUUUCUCUUUGUGCACAUUGACCCGCUUUCUUCAUUUUUCGAGUCAAAUCGGUCUCGGAUCGUCCGUUGGGUCUAAAGAAGUAGGUUACGAAGGCGCAAAGAAUAUUGCGAAAGAGAGUUGGAUCUCAACGGCUUACUAUCAUCUCACUAUUUGAAUGGGAAGGUAUUUGAUUCAAAGAAGAAAAGAAGAAGAAAGGAAUUUCCCGCAGAGGGCGCUAUGCAGCUGAGUUGGAGUACGAAAGGUAACUGAAAGAAGUGAGAAUUCUCUCCGAGUUGACUCUUUAAGAUCAGGAUAGAUAUGAGACCCCGGUCUCGGAAGUUGAACUCUCUUAACUUAAAUGAGGCACUCGCUCGCUCAGAGGUAGCGAGACCGUCAUAUCCAAAAUGUCCAGGGAGAACUAGAUGGCCUUCACAUACUCGCUUUGGCUUCGCUUUCUUCUUUUGAGAAUGCUGUAGCUUAUCUUGUUGAAGCGGUAAGCUCUUCGUUAUUAAGGCCUUUGAAGGAGAAAUCCUUUUCUGAUUUUCUAAUAAAUAGGUUGAUUUAGCUGUCCCUCUUUCAUUCGUCGUGACUCCAGAGUCAGCUAGAGAAGUUAUGAGAUCGGAUCUCGUCAUGAAUAACUAAGAAAAAGAUCCCAUCUGUCUUGGAGAGAAAGCUAAUAUGAUAAGAGUUAGAGAGUCAGAAAGAGAAGCUUGAUUAUCUUCUUAUUACUUCUUAUAAUCAGAAGCAGAACCUUCUAAACUAAAUCAAGAAUGCUCUCGAACCCUAAAAAACCUACGGCAACCUAGGUUAACCUACUAAGAAUCAAGAAAGCGCAACUUCUAUUUUGAUGCCUUCGGUUGACUGGUGGCAUUCGAUGGCGGUCGAUCGGUCAGCUUUCGCUUUCAUUCAUGAUCCCCGCUUCGGCAUUCAAGACUCAUAAGGCAAGUAUCAGAUAGGUUGGUUCUCGUGCUAGCAUGAAAGGAUAGGAUCGAAGGAAGCGAAGCAGCUCCUACAAUACCAGUUAUCGUUUCAGAAUCGGAAGAAAGAGAUUAAGCACUAGACCGAAUCGGAACUGCUCUUCAACAUUGUUCACAUGGCUGAAAGCCUAUUUUCAAGGUCACAGACGGUAAAGCCAGCUAACCCGAGUCGGAGAAGCUUUCCCAUAUUUUGAGGAAUGGAACUGCUCGAGCUAGUUUACUCGGGAGAGAGGUAGGAUCGACUGGAUCGGUGUUCAUCGGCUAUCCCAAGCGGUUAGGUGCUCUUCGAUCGGGGAAUGUUUUCGUAAGGCCUAACCUUUCACUCCCACUCCGCGGUUCAAGGGUAGGCUUUCUUCUUCUUGUCUUUUCAUCAGCAGCUCGUUAAAAGCCACGACCGACUACGCGGUAACUCACCUCAACGGCACCUGAAAAAGAAAGGCUUGCUCUUGAUCUUGAUGUCAGUCUCUCUCCCUCCUUUAUCGUCUCCUCUGGCUUCUUUUGACUUGGAAAGUUUCGCAAUAUUCUUUGCACCGCAAAAGAAAGCGGAAAUCUGAGCAAUAUUCUUUGCGCCUCCUCUUAUUCAAGGGAUGAGGCUUGAGCCUCAGACUCUUCCUUGGUCUACGAGGCCUACUUCGUUCUGCCGACUAGGUCCCCCCUUCCUUGGGGCGGGAUGAAUAUGGGGUUCUCGUUCUGGAGAUUAUGGGAGAAAGGGUUGAAAGCCUUAGGCAAUACAGCUUACCAUCUAAUUCUCCUCGAGCGAUCGGCUAAGUUAAUACUCUACUCUAAAGAAAGAGAAAAGACAAAGCACUUCUUCAACUACAGAAUUCCCCUAGGCUGAUUAGCCCUCCGCGGUGGGGAGUCGUCAGAUCUUUCAAGGGAAGUUUGAGAUAAUAGUCACCUGGACCUUUCUUUCAAGAUUAAGCUAGAAGUCCGACGGGUCCUCCGGACAGGUUAAUAUGGUAAUUAUAAGGGGUCCAGAUGCGCAAAGUGCGGCUACGUAGGACCAAAGAAUAUUGCGUGGAACCUUAAUAUGUGAGUCAUGAUUCCCUUAAAUUGGAUUUCGCAGACUUUGGAUCAAUGAAAUUUGAUGAUGAUGAGGCUCGACUGAAAGGAGAGGCGUGAAGAGUCUUUUAAUAAAGAGAAAAGAGCUGCUUAAUUAGGAAGGAAAGAGAAGGCUUUCUCUCUAGUAAAGCUUUUUUUGUUCUGACUUCUCCGUCUGACCUUUCUUCUCUCUCAUUCGAUUCUGACUUCAGUUUCUAGUCUUCUUCCUUCUCUCUCCUUUCCAGUCUGAUCAAUUCUCAACUCAUCUGGAGCUCGCAAUAUUCUUUGCACCUUACUUAAGAGUCUCCUCAAUUAAUCUUCGCCUCGUCCCAGUUCUUGUUUCAGAAGUGGUGACCCUAGGCUUUCUCUCAACUGAUACAACUCAUCUUCUCAUAAGAAAUAAUCAUAGGCUUUCUCUUUGGACAUAUAAGUGGUUUAUCAAGCUCUUCUGAGCUUAGGCGUCUUUAUGUAAUAUGCUUCUUAGUCUAGUCUUGAAUUACUAUUCUCAGAAAUUGAGUCGAUCUUGUGCAAGGUUCUAGAACGAGAUAGAAAGAAAUUGAGGACAGUCUUGUGGAGAGAGGGAUAUAGGAUCAGUUGCAGGGAAGAAGCUAGAACCAGCUAUCCCAAAUGAGUCGGGGAGGCAGAAUCCGUCUGAUUAUUAGGAUAGGGAUAGGGCUAGGCCGGGGCCGUCCUGUGGCACUGAAAUCCGCUUUCAUCUAUUCUCAGAGGCCCACGUAGCGGUUAUCAGCAGCUUUCAAGGAUAGGUCCCUUUCUUAUGGCGGUCUGAAUAUCUUUUCUCUUAUUCCGGCAUUGACCGCGGAUUACUAUCCCGAGGAAAGGGAAAGGAUAGGUUAUUCAAUAUACCGAGUUGGAGAGGUGUUCAUAUCGAGACUGGGUUGGAUUUAGAGUGAUGCUCCGUCAUCGGUAACUUCAAGAGAAAGACUUCCAGAGUCAGCUACACCGGAUCCGGAUUGACCCUCGAGCCCAUGACAGGGGAUUUCCGCUCGAAAGAAGAAUGAAAGAAGGCUAAAUUCAAUGGACCUAAUGGAUAGUCCGGAGGACUUCGGACGGAUGAAAGUAGCUACGUAGUCUUGUCUUGACAAAGAUCAGGAUCCUCGAUCUCUUUAGCUUCUUCAUUUCAUUGCCCACGCUACCCCUCAUCCAUUAGUGCAUCCAUUAAGUCAGAAAUUCAGUAUGAAGAACCUCGUAAAUCAAAGCCUUACUAGAAUAGAACCUCACGUCAUAGGGGGCAAAGAGGAGUCUUAUUCCACUUAUCCCUCCUUUGAUUUUAGCUCCUUUCGCAUCCCUGCCUUAAGAAACCUACGCAGUGCUUCGUCGUCCAAGUGUGGCUGCUCUUUGAAGUUCCUCGUAGGACAAGUAAUGGGCCAAUAAAUAGGGUCAGAAGGAGUGGCCGCAUAAGCGGUUCUUAUCCAUAACCAAAGGACUAGGAAAUAUGGUCCGAAGAAUCUAGUAUUUCAUUGCAUUUUCCCUAGGGACUGAUCGAUGUUCUUGGGAGAAAGCCUAUGAUUUUCUUGUAUUUUUUCUACUAUUAGAAGUAGAAGCAAGAGGAAUUUAGCACUCAAUAUUCUUUGAGCCUCAUCCGUUGUUGAAGAAAUCUCUUUACUGCGACCGAUACUUAUUUUCUUUUUUUCGGAGAAUCGGACAUAAUAAGGAAGAGAAAAACUAAGAAAGGAUGAGUACGAAAAGCUCAAAAUAGUGGCUCGACCCUCUCCCUACGGUCGAGUCUCUUCGACCCUCUCCUCUCGUUCGUAACCUCACUCGACCUCCGACUAUUUAUUUGGAAGAAUUGAAUUUUGAUGCCUCUCGUUCGGUUCGUAAACUCACUCUCAUUGCACUCCUUAACACUUCUCAAUUUCAUCGAGCCUUUCUCUGAAACUGAAAGAGCAACCGCCGAAAGAACUAAUUCAGGGACAGCUGAAGAAAGGGACGCAACUCUGAGAGUGAAAACAUAGAAAACGAGAAUUAACGAAGGGCUGACUUUGCACUGCUCCGUGGGGCUUCUCAAACCUUUGUUCAUUGUACUCAAAAUUAAUCUGCUAGAUUUUUGACAUCUUUCAUUAUCGUUCAAGUCGUUUAGUACGAGAUAGCUGAACACCUCGCGGUGCUUACACCUCUCGCCUAUCGAAGUGAUGUUCAAAAACCUCGUCCGAGAACUUCUAUAAAGAAGGAUUUCCCGCGGCGCAGCGGUUCUUCCAUACCAACUUAGCUGCCCGGCGCUCCGGCAUAAGAACCGGUAUACCAUAGGUUGGCCCAACCCAGUUCUCUCUAGGGUUGGCUCCUCGCAGUUCUCCCUUGAAUUUCACACCAACCCUACAUAGGAAGCGAAAGAGACUAUGACGCAUUCACCCGAGGGGGCUCGGGGACUGGGACUAGCAAAUGAAUGAGUAAGAAAAUCAGACUCCCUUAGCCGUCGGAAGGAGGAUCAAUGUCUGAAUACGGGUCCUCCUCCGGAUAAUGCCCCACUAACAAGCGGUUUACUACCAAGCGGACCUCCCCCUCAUUUGUCUCCUCUAUCGGCUCGCGAUCGGCCUUUAUAAAGGCUUCUAGGAAAAGCCGAUCCGCCGUCUCCUGAUAGAAAACCACAGAUUUCCCACGAGUAUCGGGGUUCAUCAGAUAUACUUCCAUUUUAGCAAAAUGGGACCAGAUAUCCCCCCGCCCCUUGAAACCCAUGGGCCAAAGGGCAAGAUCGUUGGAGAAAAAGGUCCGCAAAGUAGUACUUUGCCUUUCAAUGACAAGAUUUGCUUCCCCCUCGACAAUCCCUUUUCUUCUUAUCUUAAGGGGGUAUCAUUUUGAGGAAUCGGAAUAAGGGCCAAAUUGAGAAGAUCUAGCCUCUUUCUCUCAAAUUUCGGUAGAUGCAUAUAGAGAAAGAGGUCUAUCACCGGUCUCUCAUCUUCGUCCUUAUGCAUUCUCUUCAGAAUAAUGGGGUCCAUCUCGCUCCUUUCCUCGUGGGAAGGCAAUAUUUUGAGGAUGGACUUCGGGGCCGAGAAGAGGGAAGGUAAAAAAGACAAAUAAGGCGGCCCAUCCACAUCCCCCGAAAACCGGAAAACCUUCAUACCGAACCCUUCCUUGUCAUAGUAAACAUAGGGCCUUUUGAUUUUUUCAUAAUCAAAAUGAGUGAAAUAUUCCUCGGCCACCAGCUCGUUAUAUUCAAGGAAGGAAUCCGAAUUUAGGUUCUCCUGGGUCGAAGCUCUCAUCAAGAAAGCUGACCAUAGCGUUGCUAUUACUCUUUCUUCGGAGAAAUUCUCCAAUUUAGAGAAAAACUUGAGGGGAAUCACUUUUUCCCCGCAAGCACAACUUUCUUCUAAUAAAAAGUCUGGCAUUGUCCUACCAAUCAGAAUUAUAGGCACAUUCUUUUUACGCCUGCCCGAAUAAUGAGGCUGAGGCCCAUCCAGUAGCGUGAGCAGCUGGCUCCUCUUAUCCGGCGAAAUUCUCCAACCUGCAAAAUCGACUUUAUCUACUAAAAUCAGGUCCCAGUUAUCCUCAACCUCCACCCGUGCUAACCCUUCAUGGACAGUGGCGAAGACAUUUAAGACUUUGCUAACGACAUUGAGAAAAAAAAAAGAGUCUUCUGGGUUUCCGGACCUCCAUAAAUAAAGAGUUGCCGGGUGCGGAAGGGUCGACUUGCCAGUAGAUUGAAGGCAAUCCAAUCAAGUAAUAAAAACUUCUCGUUUAGCUCCUCGGGCAUAUACUCCUUAGGCCAUCCCUUAUCGGAUAGAUAGUCGAUCAUCCGCUCGGGAAAGCUUUGAUGAGCUAAUGAGCUGGCCAUAUUACUGAUAAGAUGGAAAGAUAAAGAGAAAGAUAAGGGCAUGAGUAACUUGACUUUUCUUAGUCCCACCCCGCAAUACUCUUUGGAAAUGAAGGAGGAGGCCAUAUGAGAAUGAGAACGAGUGAUAAGAUGGAAAGAUAAAGAAAAGAGCAUCUGCAAUCAUAGAUAUGGGGUUUUUUUUCCGCUGCCCCACAAAAUGAAAGGGCAUACUUUGAGUAUGCUGGUAUUAGCCAACAAGCAAGAAAUUCGUUAGGCUUUUAAUCCUAAAAAAGCGUGGGAGAAGAAUAAAGAAGUCAAUGAAAAGAAGAAGAAAGCAAAAGAUAUAGAAUGGACGAAGGGGCAGAAAGAAAGAAAUUUCGGGUGAGCCAUUCGAUCUCAUUAACGAUAAUGAAGGAAUACACGAGAAUGAAAGAAUCAUUAUGAUUGAAUAACCUUGUUCAUUGGGAAUCAAGAAUACCCCUGUCUUUGUCCGUCCUCCGGACUAUCCAUUAGAAAAGAAAAC
Molecule: long non-coding RNA, 83346 nt
Filed under: Cucumis sativus (cucumber)
Lineage: Eukaryota; Viridiplantae; Streptophyta; Magnoliopsida; Cucurbitales; Cucurbitaceae
Description: long non-coding RNA (CSAT_LNC000004)
Source: RNAcentral